UAAGGCUAUGGUCCCUCAAACUCCAAUAUGUCUUUCAAUUAUUGGAAAAACUUUUUAUUAAAGUAAGUAUAUUCCGCAUUCAGUCCAAAAUCCAUACAACAUAAAGGUACCCAACCUACCAGAAAUGUUUAAGCUUCUAUACAAUGUAGCUAUGCAACAAAAGAAAACAAAAGGAGCAAAAGUCCCAUAGAAGUCCUUGUACAUAUAUCUUAGAUUGCAUUUUCAGUUCCCUAUCCAAAAAAUAUGGGCAUAUUGGACUUUGUUGCUUAGAUAAAGUAGCAAAUUGUCCAUUGAUUAAUUUUUUACGGUUAAAUGCAUAUUUUGAUCUUCUAUAUAUACGGCAUAAUAAUAAAUUUAACUUUUAAUUUUUACACAUUUAUUCAAUUUGACACAAUUUCUUUUGAAGCAAAUUAACCCCCAACUUUUCAUUAAGGAUGUGAUACUAUUGUGUCUUAUUUUUUUAUAUUUUAAAAUAUUCUUUUGUAUUUAUAUAAUUGUUAAAAAAUUUAGAUUAUUUUGGGUAUAAUUAUAUGUGUUGUUGUCUGUUUUACGGUCUAAGACUAAUCUUAUUUAGGUCGAGGAUGAGAAUCACAUAAAGUCCUCACAACAAUGAGGACUCCAGGAUCCAAAUGCCUAAGGCAAAAGUGUAGUAGCCCAAAUUUGACCGGGCUAAAAACAAAAUUGGAUAAAUAAAUAUUUUUUUAUUUAAAAAGUCCAUUACAGUCCAGUUUACAAAGGCCCAAAUACCAAAACCCAGCACCCGCUUACAACCCAAUUAGCCUAAACCUUUGGCCCAAAAUUCAUUAACCCGUUACACCCAGACCCAAACAAGACCCAACCAAAACGAGGCCCAAUGCCUAAACAGAAUCUGGAAACCCUAAGGUUUCCAGAAGCUUCGCGCCGUAAUCACCCCAUCAGUCACGCCUCUUCAACCUCGGUCGUUCCAUCUACCCCCAUCGGCGCCGUGAUUCCAGGCCUCAAAUCUAGCCGUAGUUGAAGACGAAUGAAUGCAAAUCAGCGCCAGCACCUUCGUCAUCAGGGCCUAAUCAUCCUGGCCCACUGAUUUCCUCGCUAGAUACCUGUAAAAGGAAAGAAAGAAAAAACAGCAAACAAGAAAAAACAGAUAUAGAAAGAAAUGAAAAGAUUUCUUCCUAAAUAUGAAACGUGGCUAUAAAAGCCUCCUUUGUAACCUGUUUAAAGGGGGAUUUUUUCUUUUGGACAGAUACAAAAAAGAGAUAUACGCAUAUAUUUACAGAAAUAAAAAAUAUAGGCAGUUUUCAUACCAAGCAACAGAGGUGAUUUAUUUACUUUAUUUCUUUCUUUAUUUGCAUGUAAAUAGUGUUAACAAUAAGUAAAAGUUACCUGCUGUGUUGCGAGAGAAAGGGGAGUUUUUUCUGAACCAUAACCGCCGAGCACGGUGGCUCAGGCAGUGGCGCGUGAAGCGCGUGAGGCUAAAGGUGGUGGCACUCCGGGACGAGCCAGGACGGCCACUAGCUAGAGCUCUGAGAGAAUUUUAGAGCUUUAACCUUUUUUUUCUGUUGAAUGUCUAAAAUGACAGUUUAUAGGGUUUUUUUUACUUUUAUAAAAUCUGUAAGACGACGCCGUUUUAGUUUAAAACAAUAAGCUUUAAAACGACGUCGUUCUAAGGAGGAUCCGCGCGUUGACCCGAUAACCCGGAGAGGAUCCGCGCGUUUUUGGUAAAUGGGAAAAUUUCCAAAUCGGCCCUUUUGUGUUUUCAAAUUUUCAAAUUUCAUUUUAGUUUUUAUCCUAAUUUAGCCCCAGUAUUUUAUAUUGAUUUCAAUUUAAUCCUAGCGCUUUUUUAAAUCCAUUCCAAAGAAGCGACAUCGUUUUCGGGGAUUAGGGCUAAUUCCCAAAUAGUCCCUUGGUUUUAAUUCGUUUUCCAGAUAAGCUUAAAUUUUUUAAAAUUUAGCCCAAAAUUUUCAAUUACUUUCAAUUUUAGUUCUCUUUUACUUAUAAAUUUAUUUAUUUAAAAUUUUAUUAUUUAUUAUAUAUUAUUAUUUUUUUAUUAAAAUUGUAUGUUAUAUUAUUAUCAAAUAAGGAAAAUACAUUUAUUUUAUUAUAUCAUAUAUUAUUAUAUUAUUUUAUAUGGCAUAUAUAUAUUAUUUACAUUGUAUUAAUUUUUUUAAAAAAAGAAUAUAUGUAUUUUUUUAUGUUAAUUAUGUAUAAAAAUAUUUUUUAUUUAUGUAUAUUAUAUCAUUGUAUGUUUUUUUCUGUAUACAUUUUAUAUAUUUCACUAUAUUUAUACAUAUUAUAUUAUUUUUAUUAUUUGUUUUCAUAUUAUUUUAUUAUAUAUUAUACUUUACUCCUUAUGAUAUUUUUAUAUAUUAUAUUAUACAUUUUAUCAUAUUUUUUUACAUUAUCUUUGUUUUAUUAUAAAAUAUAUACUAUUUUAUUAUUUAUUAAGUAUGCACAUUCUUAAAUUUUUUAAAGUGUAAUACCAAUAUUUAGUAUAUUAUAAGUUAUUAUACCCCAUGGUAUAGUUCAUAUAUAUAUGUAUCCUUUUUUUUAAAGGGGGGUUUACUUUUAUCAUUUUCAUGUUUUUUAAUGAUAUAUUUCUAAAUGGCUUAUUUUUAUUUUAUACAUUUAAUUUGCUUAUUUAUUUUUAGAUUCUUUCUUUAUUUUGAUAUUGUCUAAUAGGUUAAAUUUUACAUCUUAUUUUAUUCUUGCUCUUAUAUAUUCACAUAAAUUUAGUUAUUUAUGAUAAAUUAGAUAUAUAUAUAUAUAUAUACAUUGACAUAAAAUGUUGUUAUGUAUGUGUUAUACAAUUUACACUAUUGAAUUCGCUAUAUUCCAGGUUAUACUUUGUACGUAAUAAUGCCAUUUAUGACCAUGCAUAAAAUUAUAGCAUAUCAGAUAAUUUAGAUCCUUAUUCUUCACCUUUACUAUAUUUGCAUGAAAUGAUAAAACAUAUAUAUAUUGAAAUUAGGUUAUUUUAAUUUCUUAUAAUAUGUAAAACAUAUCAUUUUUUAAAAAAAAAACCCAAAAGUCAUAUCUUAUUUAAUUCAAAAGGAACUUUUAAAAAAAGAGCAAGGCAAUGUUUUGAAUGCUUAGAAAUUCGAGAGAUAGUGCCCUAACAUGCUGGGUUGCAAUUUCUUGUUUGUCGAAAUAUUUAAAAAUAUACUUUUAAAUGAGUUUUAUAAAUCAUGAGAUGAUUUUAGUUACGAAAGAUUAAAGAUAUCGUGUCCAAUCAUGCUGGAUGUGAUGUUUGUACUCUUUUAAAAACGAAUAAAUCUUGAUUCUUCUCUCAAAACAUCACGAUUUAAAGGAAAUAUUAUUUUUUUUUAAAUUUUUCAAAUUUCUAACACUAAGACAAGAAUUACUCAAUUUGGUACCAAUUAUGGGCGUUACGAGAGUGCUAAUCCUUCCUCGUAAGUAAUCGACUCCCGAACAUAUUUUCUCAUAAAUUUGUAGGCCAAAACAUUUUUGUAUAGUGAUCCAAUCGCACUUUAAAAGAUUGGUGGCGACUCUUGUUUUCAUUUUUCAAAAAGUCGAUCCCCGUUUUUUUCAAAAAAAAAUUCUUUAAAAAAUGGUUUCGACAAAAAGUGCUUCAUCCAAUCACUCAUUGGUAUUUUAGAGUUUUUUUUAAUCCUAUCCAAUUAACCAUGAUGAGUUAGUCAGAAUCAGUCCAAGCUUGGACGAGUUCCAUUCGGAAAUAGAAAUGGGGGAAGAUGAUGAUAUUCGUAUCAUAGAAGUUUGUGGUACGAGUGGCAUUGGCAAAACGACCCUUGCAAAAGUUGUUCACAAUCAAAUGUCACCUCAUUUUGAAGGUAAAAGCUUUCUUGUUGAUGUUCGAGAAAUUUCAGAGAAAUGUGGACUUGUUUCUUUGCAAAAACAAUUUCUUUCCCAAAUCUUGUUUGAUGAAAGCUUCAAUUUUUUCAAUGUUCAUGAAGGGAAAGCCAUAAUUAGCCACAGGUUGUCUCACAAAAGAGUUCUUGUUGUUCUUGAUGAUGUUGAGAACCUACUGCACUUGAAAUGCUUGGUUGGAAUGCGUAAUUGGUUCAGUGUAGGGAGCAGAAUCAUUGUAACAAAAAAAGAUGAACAUUUGCUCCGAUCUUAUCGAGUUGAUGGUGUGUAUAAGCCUACAACACUGAAAGCCAAUGAUGCACAUCAUCUUUUCAAUUUGAAAGCUUUCGGUUGCGAGACUGUGCCAAAAGAGGAUUUCAUUGAGCUAGCUAAACAUGUUGUAGGUUAUGCUGGUGGACUCCCCUUAGCACUUAAAGUUUUGGGUUCUUUGCUGUGUGACAGAGAUGCAAGGCAAUGGACAAGCGCGAUAGAAGGACUUGAAAGAGAUUCUAACAAAGAAAUUUUUGAUAGACUUCAAAUAAGUUUUGAUGGAUUGGAAGAAAGGGAGAAGAAUAUAUUUCUAAAUAUAGCUUGCUUCUUUAAUGGGGAGGAGAAAGAUUUUGUAAUGAAAGUACUGGAUGGUUGUGAGUUUUUUCCAGAUAUUGGAAUCGAUGUUCUCAUUAAAAAAUAUAUAACCGUUAAUAAAUACAACCAAUUGCGGAUGCAUGACUUGCUACAAGAAAUGGGAAGAAAAAUUGUUAGAGAAAAAUCUGUUGAUGAACUUGGAAAACAUUGCAAAUUGUGGGUGGAAAAAGAUGUGUAUCAUGUGCUAACAACACAAAUUGUAAGUCAUUCCAUACAAAUUAUAUAUAUUCUUACUUUAGCUUAAAUGAUUCAAACAAUUAGUAUUAAGAGGUGACAUUAAUUAAAUUUGAGAUUCAAUGCAAAAUUAGAAUUUAAAAUAUAUAUAUAUAAUCUAUUAUAUCUAUAAAGUGUUUAUUUUUUAAAAAAUAAUAAAGUGUUUAUUUUAAAAAAAUAAUAAAAUGUUUAAUUUAAAUAUUGAUAGAGUAAAAAGAGUACAUUUAUCCUGUAUAUUUCUAAAAGGGUAAACUACAAAAAUAGUCAUUUUUGUUUGCCUCAGGUUACAUUUUAGUCACUUAUGUUUGAAAUGUUACGUUUUUAGUCACUUGUGUUAUUAUUUUGUUACGAAGUGAUCACUCUUCCGUUAAAUUCAGUUAUUUCCUUAAUGGUAAUCCUACGUGGCAGUCCAACCAGAUUUUAAGUGCCAACUAGAUUUUAAGUAUAUCUGUUAAUACAUACUUCAUCUGGCUAAAUUAUGCAUUUGAGUGAAAAUUGUAUUAUUUGUAAAGUUCUUUCUCUCCUUUUUACAAUGCCAAUGGAGUGAAAAUAAUUGUUAACUACGAGAUAAAAGAUUCUGAUUUUUCUAGCAUGAAAUUGCUCAUAUUAUUUAGUAAUUAAUUUCAAAUUUCGGUUGCAGCUUUUGUCUAGAAAAAUUAUUUAGCUAGAAAAGUCAUUUGGCAUUGUAAAAAAGAGAGAAAGAAAUAAAUAAGCACUGCAUUACUUUGAUCCUAUAUUUAUACAUUUUUUUUAUUUCAAUUGGUUGUUGAUUUGGUCUGCAAAAUGAAAGUAAUCAAUUUUAAUUUCACAUGUGGUUGUUUUUACUAUGAAUACCUUGCGCAUAAUUUAUGAAAAUUUUACUCUAUAAGUUUGCUCCACAAGAUAUAUAUUUUAGUUUAUCUAUAUAUAUUAGUGCGAGGAUGAACAUUCCAUAUGGCUUGUUAUAAAUCCGAGUAUUAAUAACAACUGUACGAUAUUAAAAAGUUUUAUUGACGUAUAUUACAAAGGAUAGUCAUCCUUCCCCUAGUUGAAGAACAUAAUUAUAAUAGUAAAUCAAAUCUAUAAUUUAGCCGGAUAAAGUAUGUAUUAACAGAUAUACUCUUACAUCCUCCGGGUUACGAAUGUAAAUUGUAUAACAAAUUACAUGCAAAAAUGUGCAAAUGUUGAGGGUGAAUUUUGGACUUUCUUGUUCCGAGUGUUUGCUUGUUAUAAAAUCGAUUAUUAAAAACAACUUUGCAAUAUUACCAACUUUCAUUGACUAUAUAAUCCACGAGUUUGCCUUAAAUAUUAAUGUCGACAUUGUUCAUGUGUUAUUACAAUAAAACAGAACUGAACAUUCCAUAUGGCUUGUUAUAAAUCCGAGUAUUAAUAACAACUGUAUGAUAUUAAAAAGUUUCAUUGACGUAUAUUACAAAGGACGGUCAUCUUUCCCCCGGUUGAAGAACGUAAUUGUAAUAGUAAAUCAAAUGCAUAAUUUAGCCAGAUGAAGUAUGUAUUAACAGAUAUACUUAAAAUCUAGUUGGCACUUAAAAUCUAGUUGGACUGCCACGUAGGAUUACCGUUAGGGAGAUAACGAAACUUAACGGAAGAGUGAUCACUUCGUAACAAAAUAAUAACAUAAGUGACUAAAACGUAACAUUUCAAACGUAAGUGACUAAAAUGUAACCUGAGGCAAACAAAAGUGACUAUUUUUGUAGUUUACCCUUUUUAAAAUGUAUAAUUUAAUUUUUUUAAUUAUAAAUAUUUAAAAACACCUCCACGAUAUGUAUAAAAAAAUGUUAUUUCAUUGAACUAAUUUAGUUGGAAAAAUGUUUUAUUUAGUUUGUUUUUGUUUAUUAAUUUCAACCAAUAAUAAUAAUGCUAAAUCAUCAUAAUAUAAAUUUCACGAAUUUUUGUUUUGUGUUUUAUUUUUUAUUUUUAGGCUACAAAAAUAAUUGAAUGUAUAAUCAUUGACAAUAAAAGGUAUGUGGGAAAACAUGCACGUAUGUAUCUAUGUAAAAUGUUGAUGUUGUUGUUGUUGUUUUUUUUUUUUUUGUAAAAAUAAUAAAAAAGAGGUGGCAAAAAUCUUUAAUGCUUAACAUUUCAAAAAAAAAAAAGGAAAAAGAGUGGCAUGUGUUAUGAAAAGUAAUAUAAUAGUUAAAGAGUAUGUUUAUUGUAAUUGUGAAACUUCGUUGUAUAUUUUGGUGUAAUCGUAAUGUCAUUGCAUUCGCAUGUAUCUAUUUUCUUGCAUUUUCUCUUUAGUCAAACACUUCUUUUGUGUGUAUAUCAUGGUUUCUAGUGGUGUGAGUUUGUGAAUAUCAACUCCAAUUUUUUCAACCUACGUUAUUCAAAUUUGGAUGUAGGUGUUAUAUAUACACGUGUUUGGAAUGAGCAUAUUCAUUUUCUUUUACAUUUUCAUUGUUUUUUAGAUUCCUUGAAGGAUCAUAUAUUUAUAUUUGUGUUCAAAUAUUCGUCCUAACUUUAAGAUACUAAAUGUUUUGUAUAUGUAUAAUCAUAUUCUUAUUCUACCUAGAGAAAUGAGUGAGAUUCAAAAUUUGAGCGCGGAUGUCUUCGUGAAGAUGAGAAGAUUAAGACUACUCAAAAUCUUUUGCCGGACAAAUUGUUGUGAUCUGACAUAUCUUUCUAAUUAGUUACAACUUUUAGAUUGGAUGGGAUGUCCUUUAAGAUCAUUACCUUCAAGUUUCAAACCAGAAAACCUUGUUAUACUUCUCCUCCCUUAUAUCAAUAUUGAACAAAUAUGGAAGGAAAACGUAGUAAGAAUUAACUCAUUUGGUCAUUGUUCUCUAUCUUAUUUUGAGAAUAAAGAUGAUUUUUUUAUUAACAUUGAAGAAUAACAAUAAAAAUGAGCUUUCCUAUGUUAAUCUCUUUUUAUCUCUAAUUUAUUAUUGUUUUCAACAGCCCCUAUAUAAGUUGAAAGUGCUCAACCUAAAAGGGUCUAAAAACCUAAUCAAGGCACCAGAUUUCACAACUACCCCAAAUCUUGAAAUUUUGGUUUUGGAAGGAUGUACUAGAUUAGUAUAUGUUCAUCCAUCUGUUGGAGUUCUAACGAGGCUUAAGCUUUUGAAUUUAAGAGGCUGCAAAAGUCUGAGGAGUUUUCCAACAAAAAUUGGAAUGGAAUCUCUUGAAAUGUUAAUUCUUUUAGGUUGCUCAAAACUUCAAAGCUUUCUAGAGAUUGAUGGGAAAAUAGAAUAUUUGUUGGAGCUUUGGUUUGAUGGGAUAAACAUUAAAGAGCUACCUUCUUCAAUCGAAAAUCUGAGUAGUCUUGUUUUGUUAAAUUUGAAAGAUUGUAGGGACCUUGUGGAUCUCCCUGGGAGCAUAGAUGGGUGGGUGUAAAAGUUUUAAAUCACUUAAUCUUUCUGGUUGUUAUAAAGUUGAAUAUUUACCAGAGAACUUGCAGCAAAUAGAAUUCUUGGAGGAGCUUGACUUAAGUGAAACAUCCGUGACAAAACCACCAUUCUUUGUUUUUCAAUUUAAAAAUCUUAAAGUUAUGUCUUUUAAUGGGAUCAAUAGACCUUCUUCUAAGUUAAAUGUAAUCCAAACAUGAAGGACAAAUUCUAUGGCUCUGACGUUGCCUUCGUUGUUAGGUUUGAGUUCAUUAACAAGCUGAAUUUAAGGGACUGUAAUCUUUGUGAAGGAGAUAUUCCUAGGGAUAUUUCUCGCCUAUCCUCUUUGAAACAACUUGAUCUUGGUAGUAACAACUUCAUCAGCAUACCUUCGUCUCUUACUCGAAUUCCCAAGCUUGAUUUUCUUAGAUUGUUAGAUUGCAGGGCGCUUAAAUCGUUGCCUGAGCUUCCAACAAGUAUAACAAAUGUAAAAAUAAAUGGUUGUACUUCUCUCGAAAUAGUGGCAAAUCCUACAAAUUCAUCAAAAGUUUGGAAUUUGAAGGAUUGGGCAACUAUAUUAGGUGUUAAUUGCUUCAGAUUGGCUGAGAACAUCGAUGCCUUAACAUUGCUAAAAAAAUAUCUAAAGGUUCAUUAAUGUCUCUAUUUCUAUGUGUCUUAUAGUUAUUCAUGUUGUCUCUUACCAAACAACUAGAGGUUUAUUUUGUAGGUAUUUGGAAAUUCAAGAAAAAAAGUUUGUUAUUAUUAUACCUGGAAGUGAAAUGCCAGAAUGGUUUAGUCAACAAAGAGGUGGCUCUUGGAUUAAGAUAGAUUUGCCUCUGGAAGUUCGGAAUGAUAGUUGUUGGUGUUAGAUACACUUUAACUAGAUGAAGUAAGAACUUCAAUCUGGACCUUAACAGCAGUGCAUUAUACCCGGAUAAAGAAUGAAGGAAAAAAUGCUUGGAAUUCAAGCUUUGAGCUACUACCAGGAAUGGAGAACAGAAUUUAGAAGGCAAAGAAAGAUAGAGCAUAUGGAAAGAAAAUAUGAUGAUUUCAUUCAAAAGAAACAUAGGCUUAAAUCCAUUACAUAUACCAGACAUUGGCUGGUCAAAAAAUAAUAAAUUCAUCACCUAAACAUUACCUAACUCCAUUAGUUACAUAGGGACUAGGUGAUUUUGCUUGCAAACAUAAACAAAGCUGGUGGUCAGCUCUAUCACUAUCAAAUUACAUCAAACAUAAACUAAACUAAGUUCAACAUGAACUAGAACACAAAAUAUGGACUAAACAAACUAAACCAUGAAAAAUGAAACAGUAGCAUGGUUCUUCAUCUGGUUAACUCAUAUUUUAACCGGAUAACUUAUACUUUGUGAUCAACUCCUUAUCUGCAUGAGCUGUAUAUCCACCUUUGUUGUUGCAUAUGUUGCAUGGGAACUAACUUCAACACUCCUCCUUAAUUUCCAUGCUUGUAACACCUACCUACUUUUUCAGUUUUAUAAACCUUGACACACUAAGGGCCUUUAUGAAGAUAUCAGCAACUUGUUCCUCUGAACUGCAAUGAAUCAGCUCUACCUCUCGAGCUUGUUCCAUCUCCCUUAUCACAUGUAACUUGAUGCUGAAGUGCUUUGUUCUACCAUGGAAGAUAGGAUUCUUUGCAAUUGCAAUAGCAGACUUGUUAUCACAAAAGAUCUCUGUUGCCUCCCUUUGAUGUAGGUUAAGAUCAGCUAGAAUUUUUCUCAGCCAAAUGGCUUGAUUUACAGCAUUGGCAGCUAUAAUGUAUUCAUCUUCUGCUGUUGAUUGGGCCACCAUCGAUUGUUUCCUUGAGCUCCAACAAAACAUGGUUGAGCCAAGGGUAAAAGCAUACCAGAGGUGCUUUUCAUAUCAUCACUUGAACCAGCCCAGUCACUAUCAGUAUAGCCUCUCAACUUCAAACUUUCAGCUUUGUUAAAUAACACACCAUAGUCAAGAGUGCCUUUGAUGUACCUUAGUACUCUCUUUGCUGCUUGAAAGUGCUAGACAUUACAGCAAUGCAUAAACCUUGAUAGCAUACUCACAGCAAACAAGAUAUCUGGCCUAGUUGCUGUCAAAUAUAACAAGCAGCCAACUAUGCUCCUGUAGGUAGACUCAUUGACUGGUUCAUGAUCUCCUUGGCUUGACAGCUUUAUUCCAACAGCAAUAGGCAUGCUUGUUGGCUUACAAUUCUCUAUUGAGAACUUGGACAAAACUUUCAAGGCAAAUGUUCUCUGUCCCAAGAAGAUUUUUCCUUCUGUUUGGCGUACUUCUAUUCCCAAAAAAUAUGUCUUUAGCCCCAAGUUAGACAUUUCAAACAUGUCCUUUAUUUUGGCUUUGAAUUUAGCCAACAUGUCUUGAUCUCCUCCAGUCACCAAAAGGUCAUCGACAUAGAGGGAUACAAUAAGCUGUAUUUUAGUUUCAUUCUUCUUGACAUAUAGUGUUGGCUCACUAACACUUCUGUUAAAUCCCAAACUGACCAAGUAACUGUCAAUUCGAGCAUACCAGGCUCUAGGAGCCUGUUUCAGGCCAUACAAUGCCUUCUUAAGCCUGUACACCAUUUGUUCUUUGCCAGACACAACGAAACCUUGAGGCUGAUCAAUGUAGAUCUCUUCUUCAAGGAAACCAUUUAGGAAUACAAACUUCACAUCUAACUGAUGAAUGGCCCAUUGCUUUUGUGCUGCUAAAGCAACUAGCAAUCUGAUGGUGCAAAAGUCUCCAAGUAGUCCAGGCCAUAUCUUUGACUGAAGCCUUUGACAACAAGUCUGGCUUUCAGCUUAUUUAAACUGUCAUCAGCAUUUUGUUUGGCUUGAUAGACCCAUUUAACUCCAAUGAUCUUUCUGUUGGUAGGCCUUUCAACUAGCUCCCAUGUUUGAUUCUUUUGAAUCAUCUUGAUUUCUUCAACCAUGGCCUGUUUCCAUCCUUCAUCAGCUUCAGCUUCUUCAAAACUGCAUGUCUCCAAUAUGGCAACUUGUGUUCUUUCAUAAAUUUCAGCCAAAGGUCUAGUGCAUCUGACUGGCAUGUCAUCAAUGUCCAUUUCAGAACUAACUUGAUUAGGUUCAGCAUGAUCAGCCAUCAGCUCUUCAGAAACAGCCUCUGGCUCAUUCUUCUCCCAAUUCCAGCAUUCUUUUUCAUCAAAGAUCACAUCUCUUCUUACUUGAAUUUUGUUUGUUAAAGGGUCCAAAAUCCUAUAGCCUUUCUUGACCAUACUAUACCCGGUUAAAAUACUAGGAAUAGCUCUUUUGGACAACUUAUCCCCCUUUACAGCUGGUAUUUGGCUGUAACAUAGGCAACCAAAGACUUUCAUAUGAGCCAAUGAUGGCUUGAACCCGAACCAGGCCUUAAAAGGUGUCUUGUGAGCAAGUGCUUUGGUUGGAAGCCUAUUCUGAAUGUAGACAGCAGUAUUGACAGCUUCAGCCCACAUGGUCUUGGGCAAAUUCUUCUCAAAUAAUAAACAUCUGGCCAUAUCCAUCAAGCUCCUAUUCUUUCUUUCACUUACACCAUUUUGUUGAGGUAUAUAAGUGUUAAUGAGCUAGUGUCUAAUGCCAGCUUCAUCACAAAAGGUAUUAAACCCGGAUGAAGUAUACUCUGUUCUAUUAUCAGACCUAAGGGUCUUGAGUUUACAGCCUAUUUCAGUUUCUGCUGCAGCUUUAAAUUUCUGGAAUAUUGAAAGUACUUCAUACUUAUUCCGGUGAAAGUAUACCCAAUCAUCAAUAAAUAAAAUGAAGUAUCUACUUCCAUUCAAUGAUUCAGUCUUCAUAGGGCCACACACAUCUGUGUGUACAAGCUGCAGCUUCUCAGAGGCUCUCCAUCCUUGAUUGGUAGGAAAUGGCAAUCUUGCUUGUUUUCCCAAUUGACAGACUUCACAUACCUCUUCUUCCUCAACAGAGUUGGUGAAGUUUUCAACCAAGUCUUCACUGAUCAUCUGAGUCAUUGAUCUAAAAUUGGCAUGCCCAAGCCUUUGGUGCCAAAGCUUGGAAUCUUCUGUAGAGGCAAUGCAGGCUGAGUGUAAGUCACUUGGCCAGCUAACUUCAAAGUAUUUAUCAGUCAUAGUGAUUGUCAUGAACUUGGAUCCACUUGGAUCACUUAUCUAGCAUUCUUCACAUUUGAACACAACAGAAUAACCUUUCUCAAGCAAUUGAGCAAUGCUGAGAAGGUUUCUGUCAAUCUCAGGCACUAGCAGCACAUUUGAAAUGACUUUAUUACCUGUAGGAGUGCAUAUCAGCACAUCUCUCUUUCCUUCAGCUUUUAUGAACUGUCCAUUACCAACUUUCACUUUGGUCUUGCAGUUUCUAUCCAAAGUCUUAAAGAUGGUUGCAUGAGGUGACAUGUGGUUAGUGCAGCCACUGUCCAACAACCAGCCUUUUGUACCUUUCUUCUGGCCAGCUGAGCAUGAAACAGCAAAAACUCAUUCUUCAUGGUCACUACUGUCUUCAGCCACUUGAGCUUCAGCAUUUUUGUAUUGUGCUUGAUUCUGGCCGGGUCUGCCCUUUUGUUUGCAGACCCUUUCAACAUGCCCUUCUUCUUGCAGUGUUGACACACAACAUCUGGCCUGAACCAGUAUCUGGCCUCUGGAUGACCAAGUUUUUUACAAAAUCUACAGAGUUGAUCUUCUCCUCUUGCAGCAUCAGGCUUAGGCCUGUUUUUCCAGUUCUUCUUACCUUUAUAGGCUUAGGAACUUGAAGCAGACUUGGUUUUAGCUUGGAAAGCACCCUCUUGGUGCUCCUCCAUCCUGCUAGCUCUCCUUUGCUCCUGAGCAUAGAGGGCAUUAAUGAGCUCAGUUAAGGAGAUGCUUGCUAGGUCUCUUGAAUCCUCUAAGGAGGAUAUUUUUGCUUCAUACCUUUCUGGUAAGGUAGAGAGCACUUUCUCCACAAUCCUUGCCUCAUCAAAUUGCUCACCAAUGAGCCUUAUGCUGUUAACUACAGCCAUGAUUCUGUCAGAAUACUUCUUGACAGUUUCUUCUUCCUUCAUCUUCAAAUUCUAGAAAUCCUUUCUUAGGUUCAAGAGCUGUUGCUGCCUUGUCCUCUCUGUGCCUUGGAACUCCUCCUUGAGUUUGUACCAGGCUUGUUUUGGUGUUUCACAAGCCAUGAUUCUAGUAAAAAUUACGUCAGAAACACAGUUCUGAAUGUAUGACAUGGCCUUGUACUUUUUACUUUUUUCUUCAGAGUACUGCUUCAUUUGAGCCACUGUUGGAUUUGCUCUCAAUGGUUCUGGUUCAACAUCUGAGUUAACCACCUCCCAUAGAUCAAAUGCCUGGAGGUAGGUUCUCAUCUUGACUACCCAAAUGUGAUAUCCUCUUCCAUUGAAAACUGGAGGUGCAGCUGGUGAGAAGCUUGAUGAAGCCGUCAGUAUGUGAUCCAACUAUAACAGGUCCGCUAAGAUAAGGGCUCUAGAUACCAAUUGUUGGUGUUAGACACACUUUAACCGGAUAAAGCAAGAACUUUAAUCUGGGCUUUAAGAGCAGUGUUUUAUACCCGGAUAAAGAAUGAAGGAAAAAAAUGCUUGGAAUUCAAGCUUUGAGCUACUACUAGGAAUGGAGAACAGAAUUUAGAAGGCAAAGAAAGAUAGAGCAUAUGGAAAGAAAAUCUGAUGAUUUCAUUCAAAAGAAACAUAGGCUUAAAGCCAUUACAUAUACCAGACAUUGGCUGGUCAAAAAAACAAUAAAUUCAUCACCUAAACAUUACCUAACUCCACUAGUUAGAUAGGGACUAGGUGAUUUUGCUUGCAAACAUAAACAAAGCUGGUGACUAGCUCUAUCACCAUCAAAUUACAUCAAACAUAAACUAAACUAAGUUCAAAAUGAACUAGAACAUAAAAUAUGGACUAAACAAACUAAACCAUGAAAACUGAAACAGUAGCAUGGUUCUUCAUCUGGUUAACUCAUAUUUUAAUCGGAUAACUUAUGCUUUGUGAUCAACUCCUUAUCUGCAUGAGCUGUAUAUCCACCUUUGUUGCUGCAUGUGUUGCAUGGGAACUAACUCAAUGGAUGGGAGUUGCUUUGUGCUGCAUUUUUGUGAGUUAUGAUGCUUCAAGAGAUGAGAAUCUCAUGUGUAGAACUGUUAUCCAAGGUAGAUAUUCUAGACAGGCCAAUUGCACUCGAUCUAAUUUCCAGGGUAGAAAUCCUCCAAUAGUCGAUUGGAGUGGCUGCUCUCUAAAUUAUGGUUUAGAACAGCCUGUAACGAAGGACCACAUGUUAAUUUGUUAUUUCUCGCGUGACAAGUUUUAUCCAAUUUCUUUGGAAGACAAAUGUGGUAAACGUGAAACCAAUAAUUUAUGGACAAUAGAUUGCUUAGAUCAGGAAUGCCAUUAACUUGACUUGUUGUUCACAGAUCCCUUCAAUAACAGUGUUAAGAUGAAGAAGUGUGGUGUUAGAAUAGUGUAUGAGAGAGAUCUGGAAGAGAUGAACAAAUAAAAGAGCUGCAUAGUAGUCAGUGUUGUGCAAAUUUUGAAGAUAUCCAGCAACACUCUGUUGAUGAUGGAUCAAUAGGUAACGGUUCCCUAUAAAACAGAAACGUAAAUAUAUGAGGAGAGGGAUGAAGGACCGCAAUCAAAACAGAUGCAAAAAAAAAAUCAAUUCUACAAUGAGUAGAUUGAGGAAGAAGCACUAGUUGUGGUAAACUACUUCAUUAGCCUUGUCCUAUUAAUUUUUUUAUGACCUUUUUUUUAUCUAUAAUAGUAUUCAUAGUUUUUUUUAUUUUAUUUUAAGUAUUUAGUUUUGAUAUCUUACUCUACAAUAAAUGAGAUAUAAUCUUUCAAAUAUAUAUAAUUAACCUAAAAAUUCUAGCAUAUACAUGUUGAACAGAAACUCGUAUUCUAUGCCUAUCCCAAAUUUGAAUAAUAACAUUCAAAAUAUUAUUCAUUUUUAUAUAAUUAGAUUUUAUGAUCGCAGAUUGAAGAAAUAUAAUUGACUAGAGAUAAAAUGUGGAGGAAGUUUUGAUUGCUCCAUGAAGAAGCAACCAAUAAGUAAGUUGCGAAUUCUUUAUUAAUGUUAUAAUCAUCCUUUUAUAUUUAAAUUUAGACUAUUUUCGUAAAAAAAAUUUACUUUUUUUAAAUUUAAAGGUUAAAUUUAGAUCAGAAAAAGAAUAAAUAUCAAAUUACCAGAAAAUGUAAACUUAAAAAAUUAAAUUUAUCAUCAUGUGAAGACGUUAUACAUAAAAUAAGAAUAAUAUAUGACAAAUAUUAAAUACCAUCUCGUAGAAUAAGAAUAAUAUAUAAAAAUUCAUUGCUUUUCAAUUUUGUUUAUUGUAUUUAGUUUUUUUUAGUAGUUACACAUCUUCAUAUGAAUAAAUAUUUUCAUUGUGUGAUACAAAUUAUCAUCUCUGUUCUUUCAUUUUGGUUGUUUUGUUUAUUCAUAUGUUUUCAUUAAGCUUUAUUCAUUUCAUUUUCAACUUCCAUUCUCAUUUUUUUUCCUUUUUUCAAUUUUAUUGAAUUGAUUACAAUGUGAUAUUUUUGCUAGAUGGUGAUUAUAUACUCUUUACAAUGUGUAAUUUGACAAAAAAAAUUUCCCCUUUUGGCAAGUCGGUGGUGUAUCACUCAACAAUAAACAACAAUUGUCUUUAGCUUUGAUGUCAUUCUUUUAAAAAUUAUUUAUGACUAAGAAGUAAUAUCUUUUAAAAGCUUUGAUAUCAAUUUUAGUUUCUAAGUUAAUAUCAAUUAUUAAACUACUAAUGUGCCUGAAAAUUUCAAUGAAAUUUUUUUUUAGAGAUAAUUCAAAUCCCAUAUACGUUAAGUAUUACUUUGUUCUGUUCUUUUUCUUAUGUAGUUAUAGUUGUUAGACUCGUAAAAAUAAGCUAAACAUAUAUUUUUUUUGUUUUAAUUCAAAAUUAAAAAAAAAUUUGAAUUUGAGUGGUAUUUUAUUUAAGAUGAUUUUAGAAUUAUAAUAGAUAAUAUUCUUUUAUUAAUUUAAAUACUACAUUAUUAUUUGAAUAGCAUAUAUUGGAGAUUACAUUUGAUUUUAAAAACUAUUAUUGCUAUAUAUUAUCCUGAAAUUCAAGAUAAGAGCAAUGAUGUGGCAUAAAAUUAUUGGAAAGGGAUACAGAUGAUGUGACGUCACUGUUUCAUCAAUCAUUUCCCUAUAUAAUAUAUAGGGAUAAUAGUUUUUAAAAUCAAAUGUAAUCUCCAAUAUAUGCUAUUCAAAUAAUAAUGUAGUAUUUAAAUUAAUAAAAGAAUAUUAUCUAUUAUAAUUCUAAAAUCAUCUUAAAUAAAUACCACUCAAAUUCAAUUUUUUUCAUACAAUCCUUUCCCAUACUAUAUAUUAGAGAAUACCAUCAAUAAAAUUUAUCAUCAUUUUCUUUUGUUGUAAUUGACUUGUUACACUUCUACCACUACUCGCUUUCAUAGAUUAUUGUGGAGAUUCGUUUCGAAGAAAUAAAUGUAGGAAAUGUAUAGAGAAAUUGCCUAGAAACCUGUGUCUGCUUUGCCUUUCUUGACUGUUUCUAGUUUCUUUCUGCAUACUGAGCCACCUUAUUUUCUGGUUUUCAAAAACUAGAUUGUGAUAUCUUUUUCCUUCUCAUACUUCCUCAUGUCGUUGUUACCAUUUUCAAAAACAUAGACGAGAUUGUGGCUGCUGCAAAUGGGUUGGGAGCAGUAGGAGGAGUAUUUCGGGAUGCUCAAGGCGAAUGGGGAUACUUUAGAGGCACUCUGCAAGUCGAGUUAUGGGCAGUCGUGGAUGGACUUGAUGUUGCAUGGGAAAAGGGAUUUCGGCAACUUCUUGUUGAGUUAGAUAGUGAUGAUGCUAUUCAUCUCAUUAAUUCAACUCAAGCAAAGGAAAGCAAGCUAAGGUUGGUGCGUGUUGUAAGCAGACUUAGGGAAUGACUGUGGCAAGUUGAGUUCAUCAUGGAUUGCGUGAAGUCAACAGUGUAGUUGAUAGUUUAGCAAAGAAAAGACUCGAUUUCGUCGAUAAUUCGUAUACUAGAAGAUUUACUAGACGAGCUAAGAGAGUCUUGAAUGGGAUCAGAAUAGACCAACCUUCCAUCGAUUUAGAUUGUAUUUGUUGUUUUCCUGUAUAUUUAAAAAAAAAAAAAAGGAACUGUUGGCUGGGGUUUAAAGCAGAGGGAUUUUCUUUUUCUUUUACUUUGGGCUGAAUACUGUAAAAAGGAAAGGGUUUUUGUAUUGUUGGGCCGAUGUUUCCAGCUUAACCCGGCUGUAAUGAGCCCAAAAUUUCCAGAUGUAAUUACUCUGUCAUCUUUAUGUUGGUUUGAUGAUUGAGUUUGAAAAUAGUUUGGAUCCAAUUGUCUUUACUCGACACUUUCCACACCGAAAAGCAAAAAUGUCUUUGAACCAAAAAAAUUAAGGAAAGGAAAAAGAAAAAGGUGAUUAAGGGGCGGGCUUCUUCACUUUGCUUUUCUAAUUAAAGUAGCCUCCACUCUGUGGACGAAGCAACCAAUUCUGCCCUCACCGUCAACGAUUCUUCCUGGAAAGCACCAUCAUUUUCAUUUGUCACCAAACUUCCACCACUACACCUUUUCAUAGCUAUUAUGAUGGAGAUUCGUUUUGAAGAAAAAAAAGGUAGGACAUGUAUAGAGAAAUUGCUUAGAAAUCUGUGUCCGCUUUCCCUUUCUUGAUGCUCCUAUACUUGAUCUGUUUGUAGUUUCUUUCUGCAUAUUGAGCCACCUUAUUUUCUGGUUUUCCCAAACUAGAUUGUCUUAUCUUUUUCCUUCUCAGACUUCCUCAUGUCCUCGUUGCUGUCAACUUCCUCGUCUAUUCCUAGACAAAAAGAAUAUGACGUAUUCUUGAGUUUUAGAGGUGAAGAUACUCGUCAUAACUUCACAGACCAUCUCUGUGAUGCUUUGAGAAGGAGCGGAAUAGUCACUUUCAGGGAUGAUCCAAAGCUGGAGGCCGGCGAAGAGAUCGCUCCUGAGCUCUUCAAAGCAAUUCAGCAAUCAUGGUGCUCACUAAUCGUUUUCUCGGAAAACUAUGCCUUUUCAGGUUGGUGCUUGGAGGAACUUGCUGAGAUUGUUAAACAAAAAAGGGAGAAUGGACAUAAAGUAUUUCCAAUUUUCCAUGGUGUGGAUCCAUCUGAUUUAAGAAAACAAAAAGAGAAAGUUGAAGCAGCUUUUGCCAAACAUGAAGAGAGAUACAAGGAAGAUGAAGCAAAGAUCCAAAGGUGGAGAAAUGCUUUAACUGAAGUGGCUAAUAUCAAGGGAUGGCACUCAAAUAAUAGGUUUUUUUUUCCUUCAAUUUACUUGUAAAUUUAAUGAUUACAGUUUUGUUUUGAAAUAGUUGUUUUUUAUAUAUAUAUUGACAAAAUUGGAAAGUUGUUAUUUUCUAGUGUUAUAAGGCAAAUAAGGCAAUAACACCAGAAAAACUACCAGCUCAAGUCCUCCAAGUGUAUCCUAAAUUUGUUCGAUAUUACUAUGCGUUUCACAUCUUAAUUUUUUUUCUUAGUUCAUUUAACUUCAUUUCCAUAUCAAUAAUUUUCUUAAUUAAAAAUUACAUCUUUAUAUCUUUGUAGGCAUGAAUCAGAAUUUAUUGGAGACAUUGUUAAAAAAAUAUCAGCAAAGUUAUGUCAAACAUAUCCAAUUGUCCAUGAUGAUAAGUUAGUUGGAAUUAGUCCAAGCUUGGACGAUUUGCAUUCGGAAAUAGAAAUUGGGGAAGAUGAUAUCCGUAUCAUAGGAAUUUGUGGUAUGGGUGGCAUUGGCAAAACGACUCUUGCGAGAGUUGUUUAUUAUCAAAUGUCACAUCAUUUCGAAGGUAAAAGCUUUCUUGCUGACGUUCGAGAAGUUUCAGAGAAAUGUGGACUUGUUUCUUUAUAGAAACAACUACUUUCCCAAAUAUUGUUUGAUGAAAGCUUCAAUUUUUUCAAUGUUCAUGAAGGGAAAGCCAUAAUUAGCCACAGAUUGUCUCACAAAAGAGUUCUUGUUGUUCUUGAUGAUGUUGAUAACCUACAACACUUGAAAUGCUUGGUUGGAAGGCGUGAUUGGUUUGGUGUAGGGAGCAGAAUCAUUGUAACAACAAGAGAUGAACAUUUGCUCCGAUCUUAUCGAGUUGAUGGUGUGUAUAAGCCUACAACAUUGAAUGGCAAUGAUGCACUUCAUCUUUUCAAUUUGAAAGCUUUCGGUUGCAAGACUGUGCCAAAAGAGGAUUUCAUUGAGCUAGCUGAACAUGUUGUAGGUUAUGCUGGUGGACUCCCCUUAGCUCUUGAAGUUUUGGGUUCUUUUCUAUGUGAUAGAGAUGCAAGGCAAUGGACAAGUGCAAUAGAAAGACUUGAAAGAGAUUCUAACAAAGAAAUUCUUGUCAGACUUCAAAUAAGUUUUGAUGGAUUGGAAGAAAAGGAGAAGAAUAUAUUUCUUGAUAUAGCAUGCUUCUUUAAUGGGGAGGAGAAAGAUUUUGUAAUGAAAGUACUGGAUGGUUGUGAGUUUUGUCCAGAUAUUGGAAUCGAUGUUCACAUAAAAAAAUCUCUACUAACUGUUAAUAAAUGCAAUCGAUUGCAAAUGCAUGACUUGCUACAAGAAAUGGGAAGAAAAAUUGUUAGAGAAAAAUCUGUUGAUGAACCUGGAAAACGUUGUAGAUUGUGGGUGGAAAGAGAUGUCUAUCAUGUGCUAACAACAAAAACUGUAAGUCAUUCAUACACAUUAUAUAUAUUCUUACUUUAGCUAAAUUAAUUCAAACAAUCAAUAUUAAGAGGUCACAUUAAUUAAAUUUAGAUUCAACCCAAAAUUAUGAUUUUUUUUUGUUAAAAAAACAUAUAUAAUCUAUUAUAUCUAUAAAGUGUUUUUUUUAAUAUUGAUAAAAUAAAAAGAGUACAUUAAUCCUGUAUAUUUCUAAAAUGUAUCAUUUAAUUUUUUUAAUUAUAAAUAUUUAAAAACACCUCCACAAUAUGUAUAAACAAAAUGUUAUUUCAUUGAACUACUUUAGUUGAAAAAAUGUUUUAUUUAGUUUGAUUUUGUUGAUUAAUUUCAACCGAUAAUAAUAAUGCUAAAUCAUUGUAAUGUAAAUUUCACGAAUUUUUGUUUUGUGUUUUAUUUUUUAUUUUUAGGCUACAAAAACGAUUGAAGGCAUAAUCAUCGACAAUAAAAGGUACAUGAGAAAACUUACAUAUAUGUAUCUAUGUAAAAUGUUGAUGUUGUUGUUGUUGUUUUUUCUUGUGAAAAUAAUAAAAUCUUCAAUGCUUAACAUUUCAAAAAAAAAAUAGUGGCAUGUGUUAUGAAAAAUAAUAUAGUAGUUAAAGAGUAUGUUUAAUGUAAUUGUGAAAGUUCGUUAUAUAUAUUUUGGUGUAAUUGCAAUGUCAUUGCAUUAGCAUGUAUUUAUUUUCUUGCAUUUUCUCUUUAGUCAAACACUCUAUUUGUCUGUAUAUCAUGGUUUCUAGCAGUGUGAGUUUGUGAAUAUCAACUCCAAUAUUUCAACUAUGUUAUUCAAAUUUGGAUGUAGGUGUCAUAUAUACAUGUGUUUGGUAUGAGCAUAUUCAUUUUCUUUUACAUUUUCAUUGUUUUUGAGAUUCCUUGAAGGCUCUCUCAUGUAUAUGUAUAAUCAUAUUCUUAUUCUACCUAGGGAAAUGAGUGAGACUCUCACUUUGAGUGCGGAUGUCUUCUUGAAGAUGAAAAGAUUAAGACUACUCAAAAUUCUUUGCCGGACAAAUUGUUAUGAUCUGACGUAUCUUUCUAACGAGUUACGACUUUUAGUUUGGACGGGAUGUCCUUUAAGGUCAUUACCUUCAAGUUUCAAACAAGAAAACCUUGUUAUACUUCUCCUACCUUAUAGCAACAUUGAACAACUAUGGAAUGAAAACAUGGUAAGAAUUAACUUUCUAUCUUAUUUUGAGAAUAAAGAUGAAUUUUUUAUUAACAUUGAAGAAUAACAAUAAAAAUGAGCUUUCCCAUGUUGAUCUCUUUUUAUCUCUAUUAUUGUUUUCAACAGCCCCUGUAUAAGUUGAAAGUGCUCAACCUAAAAGGGUCUGAAAAACUGAUCAAGGCACCAAACUUCACAACUGCCCCAAAUCUUGAAAUUUUGGUUUUGGAAGGAUGUACUAGAUUAGUAUAUGUUCAUCCAUCUGUUGGAGUUCUUACGAGGCUUAAGCUUUUGAAUUUAAGAGGCUGCAAAAGUCUGAGGAGUUUUCCAACCAAAAUUAGAAUGGAAUCUCUUGAAAUGUUAAGUCUUUCAGGUUGCUCAAAACUUCAAAGCUUUCCAGAGAUUGAUGGGAAAAUGGAAUGUUUGUUGGAGCUUUGUUUUGAUGGGACAAACAUUAAAGAGCUAUCUUCUUCAAUCAGAAAUCUCAGAAGACUUGAAGUUUUGAAUUUAAAAGACUGUAAAAGUCUUAGGAGUCUUCCAACCAAAUUUGGAAUGGAAUCUCUUGAAAAGUUAAUUCUUUCAAGUUGCUCAAAUCUUCAAAGCUUGCCAGAGAUUGAUGGGAAAAUGGAAUGUUUAUUGUAGCUUUGUUUUGAUGGGACAAACAUUAAAGAGCUACCUUCUUCAAUCAGAAAUCUUAGAAGACUUAAAGUUUUGAAUCUAAAAGACUGCAAAAGUCUUAAGAGUCUUCCAAUCAAAAUUGGAAUGGAAUCUCUUAAAAAGUUAAUUCUUUCAGGUUGCUCCAAUCUUAGAAGGUUUCCAAAGAUUGAUGGCAAAAUGGAAUGCCUGCUAGAGCUCUAUUUAGAUGGGUCGGGCAUUAAAGAGCUACCUAUUUCAAUUGGAAAUCUGAGCAGUCUUGUUUUGUUAAAUUUGAAAGAUUGCAGGAACCUUGUGGAUCUCCCAGGGAGCAUAGGUGGGUGUAAAAGUUUAAAAUCUCUUAAUCUUUCUGGCUGUUAUAAAGUCGAAUAUUUGCCAGAGAAUUUGCAGCAAAUAGAAUUCUUGGAGGAGCUUGACUUAAGUGAAACAUCCAUGACAAAACCACCAUCCUUGAUUUUUCAAUUUAAAAAUCUUAAAGUUCUGUCUUUUAAUGGGAGCAAGGGAUCUUCUUCCAAGUUACAAAAAUAUCUGCCUUCUCUGUUAAAGGUAAUCCAAAGAGAAAGGACAAAUUCCAUGGCUCUGAUGUUGCCUUCGUUGUUAGGUUUGAGUUCAUUAACAAGGCUGAAUCUAAGGUACUGCAAUCUUUGUGAAGGAGAUAUUCCUGGUGAUAUUUCUCGCUUAUCCUCUUUGACAAAACUUGAUCUUGGUGGUAACAAUUUCGUCAGCAUACCUUCGUGUCUUACUCAAUUUCCAAGCUUCAAUUUCUUUUUUUGUCAAAUUGCAAGGCGCUUAAAUCGUUGCCUGAGCUUCCAACAUGUAUAGAGGAUGUAAGCGUAAGUGGUUGUACUUCUCUGGAAAUAAUUGCAAAUCCAUCAAAAGUUUGCAAUUCAAAGGACUGGGUAGAUAUAGUAGGUGCUAAUUGCUUCAGAUUGGCUGAGAACAUCGAUGCCUUAACAUUGCUGAAAAAGCAUCUAAAGGUUCGUUAAUAUCUCUGUUUCUCUGUCUUAUAAUUAUUCAUCUUGUCUCUUACCAAACAACCAGAGGUUUAUUUUGCAGGUAGUUGGAAAUUCAAGAAAGAAGUUUGAUAUUAUUAUACCUGGAAGUGAAAUGCCAGAAUGGUUUAGUCAACAAAGAGGUGAGUCUUCGAUUAAGAUAGAUCUGCCUCUGGAAGUUCGGAAUGAUAGUCAAUGGAUGGGAGUUGCUUUGUGCCGCAUUUUUGUCAGUGAUGAUGCUUCAAGGAAGGCGCAUGUCUCGUGUAGAGCUGUUAUCCAUGGUAGAUAUUCGAGACAAGCCAAUUGCACUCAAUCUAAUUUCCAGGGUAGAUAUCCUCGAGUAGUCGAUUGUAGUGGCUUGAUUGCAAAUUUUGGUCUAGAGCAGCCCAUAAUGAAGGACCAGAUUUUCAUUCGUUAUUUCUCUCAUGACAAGUUGUAUCCAAUUUCCUUGGAAGACUAAUGUGGUGAACGUGAAACCAAUAAUUUAUGGAAAACAGAUUGCUUAGAUCAGGAAUGCCAUCAACUUGAGCUGUCCUUCGAAAGAGAUGACAGUGUUAAGGUGAAGAAGUGUGGUUUUAGAAUAGUGUAUGAGAGAGACUUGGAAGAAACACAAGUGCUGCAUAGUAGUCAGUGUUGUGCAAAUUUUGAAGAUAUCCAGCAACACUUUGUUGAUGAUGGAUCAAUAGGUAACGGUUCCCUAAUAAAGCGAAAACGUAAUAUGUAUGAGGAGAUGGAUGAAGGGCCGCAACCGAAACGAAUGCAAAAAAAUUUCAAUUCUAUAAUGGGCAGACUUGGGAAGAAGCACUAAUUGUGGUGAACUACUUCAUUGGCCUUCUCCUAUUAAAUUUUUUUUUCUGACUUUUUUUAAUCUAUAUUAUUUCAUUUAAAGUAUUCACUUUCCAUAUAUUUACUCUACAAUAAAUGAGAUACAAUCUUUCAAAUAUAUAUAAUCAACUUAAAAAAUCUAAGCAUAUACAUGUUGAACACAAACUCGUAUUCUAUGCCUAUCCUAAAUUCAGAUAACAUUAUUUUUUUUUAAAACUUUUAAUAUAUUAUUCAUUUUUAUAUAAUUACAUUUUAUGAUUGCGGAUUGAACAAAAGUAAUGGGUUGGAGAUAAAAUGUGGAGGAAGUUUUGAUUGCUCCACGAAGAAGCAACUAAUAAGGUGCGAAGACCUUAUACAUAAAAUGAGAAUAAUAUAUAACAAAUAUUAAAUACCGUCUCAUUGCAAAAUCAUCACGAUUGGGCAGCCGAUUUCUCAAUGGGAAAUUAUUUGGCUUUGUUCCUUCUCCAAGCUAACCAGUAGGUCUAUCCUAUGGAAAAAUAAAAAAUACAAUAGCAUGUAUUACAUAUACUCUUUCUCACAUUUAGAGUCUUCCUCCAUGCUAUCCCUUAAACAAUUUUUUUCUUCCCUUUUUUUUAUUAAAAAUUUAUUUAAAGCUUAAUUAAAUUAAUGAAUAUGUAAACUUUUUAGUCAUUUCUCAAGUAAGUUAGUAUCUAAUUAACUUAUGAUAUUAAUUCAGUUACAAAUUUUUUUUGAAUACAAAAUCAACCCUUAAAUAGGAGAAUAAAUGUGUUUCAACGCACUCAAACCCAUACCCUCCUGUAUAGGUAACAAUGUCGAUACCAACUGAGCUAGAAUUCAGUCACAAAUUAUUAUUUUUAAUACAAAUGCUUAGAACAACCUAUACUCUCUUCCCAACCCUUAAAUAGGAGGAUAAAUGUAUUUCAACGCAUUUGAACCCAUAUUCUACUACAUAGAUGAACUAGUGUCACGGGCCAAAGUGCAAAGCCCGUGACCAACACACCAUAUGCAUCCAAUGGAGGUCUAUUGUUUAGAUAGGGAUCAUUCAGCCUACACGAACUGGCCCGGUUCAAUAAGUUGUUGGAGAAGCAUGUUAGAUUGAAGCCUAAGUGGCCCAAUGAUGAAGAUAUGACAACAUAGGCUAUCUUGGUAACUAAUCUUAAAUGAUUGAAAGGAAUCAUAUCUUGAAAAAAUUAGAUUAGAUUUGAUAAGGUAUAUCUUAUAAAUCUCAUAAUUUAAGAUAUAGGAUUAAUCUCAUCCGUCGAUGUAACUUGAUCUUAACCGUCAGUUUUGAGGGAGCUCAGCUUUAAUAGAGAGCCUACCCCUCACUUGUAAAUCACUCCAUUCUUUAUUGUUUCACUAUUCUUUGUGAAUAAUAGAAUAUUGAGAACAUUUACUCAAACUUAAGCGAGUUUGAAACAAACGGAUCGUCUAAGGCCGUACGGAUUGCGAGACGAAAGAUCUAACCUCGUGGCACUAAAACUCAGUUACAAAUUUAAAUAAUAGUAUAGAUGAUAACUAAAAUAUAAUAUAAAAUAUGUUUGGUUAUGAUAAAAUCAUGUGAAAAUAAUAUAUAUUUAUAUAUGAAUAUAUAAAAUUUUGUAUAAUGUAAAUUAUUAAUAUAGUAAAAUUGGAAAUUCGUUAAAGAUAAUUAUUAUCUUAGAAAAUAUAGGAAAGGACAUAUGGUAUGCUCAAAAGUAAAGUUGUAGGCAUUUUAAGAAGAAUUCUACAAACGUGUUCCUUAAUAUCAUUGCGCAUGAUUAGCACUGCUGGAACAGUUAGUCCCCGCUUUAACUUCACCCCCCCCCCCCCAAAAAAAAAAAAAUCAUUUCCAUAGUUCCCACAAUGCCACUGUUGAAAACAAAGGCAUUUCUAUUUUUCCAAAGUUUCCAGUAGGCCAUAGUAGAAAGAGUACCUCCAAUCAGUUCCUUGCACACAAAAAAGUUCUUUGAGUUCCAGAGAAACUCAUUGUUCUUCCAAUUCCUAGUGCCCAAUUGACACCAUUUGGUACAUCUUCCCAGAUAUUGGACAAAGCCCUCCAGAGAAACAAGCAAUUAGAAGGAUGUAUAGAAGACGACCAUUUACUUAUUACCCCAUACUUGUUACGAAGGAUUUUUAACUAGAAGUGUGCAUGGGCCGGACUACCAACGCAACAAGAGUUUAAUCCAAAUCCAAAGGAAUUGGGUAUUAUUUCGUUUAAAGUAUUAAUUUUCGAUAUGUUUACUCUACAAUAAAUGAGAUAUAAUCUUUCAAAUAUAUAUAAUUAACUUAAGAAUUCUAAGCAUAUACAUGUUGAACACAAACUCGUAUUCUAUGCCUAUCUCAAAUUUGGAUAACAUUGUUUUUUUUUAAUAAACAAUCAAUAUAUUAUUCAUUUUUAUAUAAUUACAUUUUAUGAUCACAGAUUGAAGAAAUGUAAUCGGCUAGAGAUAAAAUGUGGAGGAAGUUUUGAUUGCCAAUAAGGUGUGAAUCCUUUGUCAAUAUUUAGUUUACCCAAAUUUAUUGCCAAAGAUACUUGUAUUCUUUUAAAUUUAAAAUUUAGUCAAUAUACUUUAAUUUUGAGAUAUUGAGUCUCUAUACUUUUUCUACUUAAAAAUUUUGGUCCAUUAGUUAGUUUUGCUGUUAAAAUGGUUGAUUUGAUUGUAAUAAAAAGGUAAAAUAAUAUUUUAGCCCUCAUUAUUUACAAUUUUGUGUCAAUUUGGUCCAUACUCUUUAAAAUACAUAAAUAAUUUUAAAAAAUGUUGUAAAAUUAUUUUUUUGUAUUUACAAUAUAAUGUUUUAAAAGUUAUUUUUUGUAUUUACAAAAUUUUUUUCAAAAAUAAAAAAAAAUAGUGUUAUUAACCUAGACCCAUGGGUCGUUGCUCGGGUCCAAAUAAAUUUCAAGUCCAGGCUCGUUUCAAUUUGAUUAGCCCAAAAAAUCUACUUAACAGUUCAAAAUUUAAUAAAAUAUCAUAAAUAAAUUUAUUAUAUUAAUAUUUUAUAAUUAAAUUAAAAUUUAAAAAUAAUUUGUAUUAUUUAAAAUGAAUUUGGUUUGACUCGUUGCAUAAAAAUCUUUUUCCAAGCUCGAUCUAAGUUAGACCGAUUCAGAGUUUAAUGUGCAAUUGUAUACGUUAACUUUAAUUUUGAUUUAAUCAUACACAUUUAAAGAAAUAAAUGCAUCAAUUUAUUUUUGUAUUGAAUAAAUAUAAUUAUUUAUAUAUGCAACAUAUAAACAUAAAAUGUUAUUAUAUCUAUAAUUAUAUUAGUAAUUUACAAGCAUUGAAUCAAAUUAAAACUUCAUGUAUACAAUUACACAUUAAAUUAUAGUUCAUAUAUAGUUAAUAUGUUAUUCAAUUUUGUUCAUUGUCUUUAAUUUUUUUAGUAGUUACUGAAUAAAUAAAAAUAAAAUAAAAACAAAAUUAAAAGUUUAAAUUAAAAUUGCGAAAAUUGAAAUUAAAAUAGUAGAGAUAAAUAAAGUUGAGGAAAAUAAUUUCUUAUGGAGAUAUUCCAACCUCCGGUUGUCUCUAUCCGCCUUGAGUUCAAUCCUCGGCUUUUAGGUGAUCUUUUUUAAACAGAAUAAACCAGUUAUAGUGGAAGAGGACGCCUACGACCACCAACUCUAAGAUUUUAGACUUAAGAUUUGGCGGAACCUAACUUUAGCUAACAAUCGCUUUUGUGAGACUAUCUUAUACUAGAUCAUCACUUCUCAAUGACAAAUACAAUGCCAUUUUGUCUCUUGGGGUCACCAACCUCUGACGUAGUAAACUAACGAACUAACUAUGUAACCUUCCCAAAACGUAAAAAGCGGUUGUUCCUUACACAAGUUGAAAAGAUCACCUAUUAAAGACAUGGACGGAAGCGUCAGUCCCAUAAUGAACCCUUUUUGGGGAAUUUCGACAAUAUUCAACUAGAUAAAUUUAGUGGCUCAUGCUUUUUGAGGAAAAGGAAUAAAGGCUGAGUUUUUUUUUGGAGAGGGAGUGUUUACAAAAAAGAUGAAUGGAAUUUAUGUUACUCCAUCCCCUAUUUAUAGUACUAGAAAACCUAGUCUAUUCCUAAUUAAAUUUUAAAAGAUAAAUACAAAUAAAUAAAGAUAAAUAAAGAUAUAUGCUAAAAUUAAAUCUAAAUAAUAAUCAUUAAUAAUUAUCCUAAUAUAAUUGGGAUUAAAAUAGAGUCUUGUGCUAUAAAAUCUCUUUUUUUGCAUUUUUGCCCCCAAAGUCUUCCACACUUUGCAUUUUCGACACCACUUCUCUCCUACUUCGCAUGCUGGCCCAAUUUAUCUUCAAAUUCACGCUUUUUGCCCCCAAAAUUUCUCUUGCCUUCAAUUUAGUCCCUACAAGAUAAAGAACCAUAAAUAGCUCAAAUUAGUAGGAUCAUACUCAAAAUAAAUAUGUAAUUAAUACAUAAAAAUAUGUCAUUCUAGGGUAUUAUCAAUUAUUCAUUUCAUUUUUAUCUUUCACUGUCAUUUUUUUCCUUUUUCAAUUUUAUUGGAUUGAUUACAAUGUGGUAUUUUCGUUAGAUAGUUGAUUGUAUACUCUUUACAAUUCUAUGAUUUAAAGUGUAAUUUGACAAGUUUAUUUUUAUUUUUUUGUUUUUGGCAUGCAGCAAUCAACAAACAACAAUUGUCUUUAGCUGUAAUGUCAUUCUUCUGCAAAUUAUUUAAGGCUAAGAAGUAAUAUCUUUUAAAAACUUUGAUAUCAAUCUUAGUUUCAUUGUCCAAGACUGGGUAAGUUUGUAAGUUAAUAUCAAUUAUGAAACCAGUAAUGUGCAUGAAAGUUUCAAUGAAAUUUUUUUAGAGAUAAUUUAAAUCUUCACAUGCAAUUAUAGUUGUUAAGCUCAUCAAAACAAGCUUUAAACAUUUUUUUUUUUAGUUUUAAUUCAAAAUUUUAAAAAAAAAUGAAUUUAAGUGGCAUUUUAUUUAAGAUGAUUUUAGAAUUAUUAUAGAUAAUUUUCUUUUAUUAAUUUAAAUACUACAUUAUUAUUUGGAUAACAUAUAUUAGAGAUUACGUUUGAUUUUAAAAACUAUUAUUGCUAUAUAUAUUAUAUAUUAGAGUAUACCAUCAAUAAAACUUAUCAUCAUUUUCCUGUAAUUGACUUGUUACACUUCUACCACUACUCGCUUUCAUAGAUUAUUCUGGAGAUUCGUUUCGAAGAAAUAAAGGUGGGAAAUGUAUAAAGAAUUGCCUAAAAACCUAAGGCUGGUGCGUAUGGCAAGUUGAGUUUCAUCAUGGAUUGCGUGAAGUCAACAGUGUAGUUGAUAGUUUAGCAAAAAAGGACUUGAAUUCGUUGAUGAUUCGGAUACUAGAAGAUUUACCAGACAAGCUAAGAGACAGUCUUGAACGGGAUCACAUUGGACCUCCCUUUCGUCGAUUUAGAUUUUGUUUGUUGUUUUCCACUCUAUUAAAAAACAAAAAAAAAAGGGACUGUUCGCUGGGGUUUAAAGGAGAGGGAUUUUAUUUUUCUUUUACUUUGGGCUGAAUACUGUAAAAAGGAAAUGGUUUUUACAUUACUGGGCCGAUGUUUCCAGCUUAACCCGGCUGCAAUGAGCCCAAAAUUUCCAGAUGUAAUUACUCUGUCAUCUUUAUGUUGGUUUGAUGAUUGAGUUUGAAAAUUGUUUGGAUCCAAUUGUGUUUGAACCAAAAAGAAACGAAAAAGAAAAAGGUAAUUAAGGGGCGUGCUUCUUCACUUGACUUCCACUCUGUGGACAAAGCAACAAAUUCUGCCCUCACCGUCAACAAUUCUUCCUGGAAAACACCAUCAUUUUCAUUUGUCACCAAACUUCCACCACCACACCUUUUCAUAGCUAUUAUGAUGGAGAUUCGUUUUGAAGAAAAAAAAGGUAGGGCAUGUAUAGAGAAAUUGCUUAGAAACCUGUGUCCGCUUUCCCUUUCUUGAUGCUCCUAUACUUGGUCUGUUUCUAGUUUCUUUCUGCAUAUUGAGCCACCUUAUUUUCUGGUUUUCCCAAACUAGAUUGUCAUAUCAUUUUUCCCUUCUCAGACUUCCUCAUGUCCUCGUUACUCUCAACUUCCUCGUCUAUUCCUAGACAAAAAGAAUAUGAUGUAUUCUUGAGUUUUAGAGGUGAAGAUACUCGUCAUAACUUCACAGACCAUCUCUAUGAUGCUUUGAGAAGGAGCGGAAUCGUCACUUUCAGGGAUGAUCCAAAGCUGGAGGCCGGUGAAGAGAUUGCACCUGAGCUCUUCAAAGCAAUUCAACAAUCAUGGUGCUCACUAAUCGUUUUCUCGGAAAACUAUGUCUUUUCAGGUUGGUGCUUGGAGGAACUUGCUGAGAUUGUUAAACAGAAAAAGGAGAAUGGUCAUAAAGUAUUUCCAAUUUUCUAUGAUGUGGAUCCAUCUGAUUCAAGAAAACAAAAAGAGAAAGUUGAAGCAGCUUUUGCAAAACAUGAAGAGAGAUACAAGGAAGAUGAAGCAAAGAUCCAAAGGUGGAGAAAUGCUUUAACUGAAGUGGCUAAUAUCAAGGGAUGGCACUCAAAUUAUAGGUAUUUUUUUCUUCAUUUUACUUGUAAAUUUAAUAAUUACAAUUUUUUUUUGAAUUAGCUGUUUUUUAUAUAUAUCGACAAAAUCGGAAAAUUGUUAUUUUCUAGUGUUAUAAGGCAAAUAAGGCAAUAACACCAGAAAAACUAUAAACUCAAGUCCUCCAAGUGUAUCCUAAAUUUGUUCCAUAGAGUACUAUGCGUUUCACAUCUUAAUUUUUUCCUAGAUCAUUUAACUUCAUUUCCAUACCAAUAAUUUUCUUAAUUAAAAAUUAAAUCUUUUUAUCUUUGUAGGCAUGAAUCAGAAUUUAUUGGAGACAUUAUUAAAAAAAUAUCAGCAAAGUUAUGUCAAACAUAUCCAAUUGAGCAUGAUGAGUUAGUUGGUAUCAGUCCAAGCUUGGAUGAUUUGCAUUCGAAAAUAGAAAUUGGGGAAGAUGAUAUCCGUAUCAUGGGAAUUUGUGGUAUGGGUGGCAUUGGCAAAACAACCCUCGCAAGAGUUGUUUAUAGUCGCUUGUCACCUUAUUUUGAAGGGAAAAGCUUUCUUGCUGAUGUUCGAGAAGUUUCAGAGAAAUGUGGACUUGUUUCUUUACAGAAACAACUACUUUCCCAGAUCUUGUCUGAUGAAAGCUUCAAUUUUUUCAAUGUUCAUGAAGGGAAAACCAUAAUUAGUCAUAGGUUGUCUCACAAAAAAGUUCUUGUUGUUCUUGAUGAUGUUGAUAACCUACAACACUUGAAAUGCUUGGUUGGAAAGUGUAAUUGGUUCGGUUUAGGGAGCAGAAUCGUUGUAACAACAAGAGAUGAACAUUUGCUCCGAUCUUAUCGAGUUGAUGGUGUGUAUAAGCCUACAACACUGAAAGCCAUUGAUGCACUUCAUCUUUUCAAUUUGAAAGCUUUUGGUUGCAAGACAGCGCUAAAAGAGGAUUUCAUUGAGCUCGCUAAACAUAUCGUAGGUUAUGCUGGUGGACUCCCAUUAGCUCUUGAAGUUUUGGGUUCUUUUUUGUGUGAUAGAGAUGCAAGGCAAUGGAAAAGUACAUUAGAAAGACUUGAAAGAGUUUCUAACAAAGAAAUUCUUGACAGACUUCAAAUAAGUUUUGAUGGACUGGAAGAAAGGGAGAAGAAUAUAUUUCUAGAUAUAACAUGCUUCUUUAAUAGUGAGGAGAAAGAUUUUGUAAUGAAAGUAUUGGAUGGUUGUGAGUUUUUUUCCAAAUAUUGGAAUUAAUGUUCUUAUUAAAAAAUCUCUACUAACUAUUAACAGACACGACCAGUUGUUGAUGCAUGACUUGCUACAAGAAAUGGGAAGAAAAAUUGUUAGGGAAAAAUCUAUCGAUGAACCUGGAAAACGUUGCAGAUUGUGGGAGGAAAGAGAUGUAUAUCAUUUGCUAACAAAAACAACUGUAAGUAAUUCCAUAAAAAUUAUAUAUAUGUAGCUUAAUUUAUUCAAACAAUUAAUUUUAAGAUGUGGCAUUAAUUAGAUUUGAGGUUGAAUUUGAAACGAUUACAUCUUUGGUACAAAAACAUAUAUAUAAUCUAUUAUAUUUAGGAAGUAUUUAUUAUUAAUAUCGAUAAAGUAAAAUGAGUAGAUUUGUUGUUUAAAUUUUUAAAAUGUGUCAUUUAGAAAUUAUCUUGUUGAUUAUAAAUAUUAAUAAGACAUGCACGAUAUGUAUAAACAAAAAUGUAAUUUCAUUGAAUUACUUUAGUUGAAAAUGUUUUUUUAGCUUGUUUUUUUACUAUACAUGCAAUGAUAAUCAUAAAUGUAAACUUUACGAGCUUUUGUAAUAUUUGUACUUUUCAUUUUUUUUAGGCUACAGAAAUUAUUGAAGGUUUAAUCAUCGACAAUAAAAAGUAAGAUGACAUAUAUAUCUAUAUAUAAUUUUAAUGUUGUUGUUUUUUUUGUAAAAAUAAUUAAAAAGAAGUGGCAACUCUUUAAUGCUUAAUAUUUAAAAAAAAGUAAAAAAAAAAAGUAGUAUGAAUUAUUGAAAAAAAGAAUGUUGCAUUUAAUUGUAUCUAUUUUCUUGCAUUCUCUCUUUAGCCAAACACCUUUCUUGUUUCUAGCCUUCUGUGUCUGUAAAUAUCAGCUCCAAUUCUUUAAAGCUAUGUUAUUCAAAUUAGGAUAUAAGUGUUAUAUGUGAGUUGUAUUUGACAUGUGUAUAUUAAUUUUUCUUAACUUUUUCAUAUAUUUCAAAAGCCCUUGAAGGAUUAUAUCUUUAUAUCCACAUCUGAACAUACUUUAGAUGUAAGUGUUAGACAUGAGUAUUUCAAAAAAGAAGCAAUGAAGUGAUUAACGUUUUAGAGAUUAUGUUUUAUAUAGCUUUAUUCUUAUACUUGUUCUGUUGGAAAAUUUGGACAUUAUAUAUAUAAUAAGGAUAAUUACAUGUUAUUAUUUACUAUCAUGAUAAGUUAGACCAAAUUAAAAGUGAUCUAAUUUGGUUAGAAUUUUAUUGGGCUUUUAAUUAUUAAAUAAAGUAUGGGUCAAACAUGUGUAGAUACUCUUCUAAUCAAAUUCUAAUUAAUGAUGGGUUAAUUAGAAUUUGAUUAGAACUAAUAUGCUAAGGUUAUAAAUAUUAGGGUUAUGGUCCCCAAAUUAUACACAAGACAUCUUUUCUAAUAUCCCAUCAUUAGGAAAGAGAGAGCAGAUAUUCUCUGAAUUUCUUGUGUGCUAAUUUGGAAGAUCAAAUCCCCAAAGUUUCAAAAAGUCGAUCUCAAGGAAUCCAUGGAUUCAGAUACGCUUCCGCAUCUUGUUUUGUUCUUAAUUUAUUCUUGAUGAUUUGACAUGACAGAUCCUAGUUUAUUAAGUUUUAUUUUAGAUUUAUUUUAAUAAAAUCUAACAAGUGGUAUCAGAGCUUUGUCAUGUUGAAUCAUUGGGAAUGAAUUGAUUCUUUAUUAAUUUUGGAUUGAUUCUUUUUUUUUUAGUUUUAUGGAUUUGAUAUUUUAAUUAUAUAUUAUGUUGAAUCUUUGAGAUUCUUGAUAAAUUUUUAGGUUUUGAUUCUUUAAAUAAAGUUUUAAAGUUUUAUAAAUAAAAUCUAGUUUAAUAUUUGCAUAUGUUAUUCGAAAGAUGAAGGUUUAUAUAUUUAUUUAUAAUCAAUUGAUAAAAAUUGAUUUGUGAGAUUUCUUUCUCUCUUUUUUUCACACAAUUAUUUUAUAAGUUUUGGUAAAGUCAUUAUUAAAUUGAAAUUACAGACUUACAACUUUUUUGCAAUUGGAGAAUUCCAAUUGGGUUGUAUAAUUAGCUUUGAAAGUUAUUCACUUGAUAAGAUAUAUUUUUUUCGUACUAUUUGUUUUAAAUUUUCUGUUUGUAGUUGAAUAUAUAUGAAAUCAUCAUCUUUUAUCUUUAUUUAUGAUGAAUUAUAUUCACCAUUCAUAUAUACAAAUGAUUACUUUUAGUUUCUUUUAUAAUUAUUUUAUGUAAGUUUUAGUCUUUAUGGAAUCUAACUAAAAUUAAAAUAUUUGGGAUUAUUUUUUUUAAAUAUGGUGGCUAUGAAUUUUCAUAAGUAGUUGCGCAUAUAAAGAAUUUUAUAUGAUUUGGGAUUCUUUUUGUAUUUUGUGGUUAUGAAUUUUUUUUAAAGUAUUUGUGAGUAUAAAGAAGUUUUAUAAUAAUGUUUUUAGUCAUGAAUAUAAAUUUGAGUUUACAUCAAAUAUGUAAGGCAAGCCAAUAUUAUUUUUAUAUUUGUGUGUGUAUAUAUAUUAUAUGCAUAUCAAUGAUUUUGAGGAUUAAUGCAUGAUUAUAGUUUGUGUAAACAGACGUUUAUAACCAUUAUUCAAUAAGAUAUAUUUUACAGUUUAAUUGGUGAAAUUAAGUUUUGAUGGAUAUCAUUGAAGUUAAUUUUUUUGUUAUGGUUAUAUAUUAAAUUUUAUGGGUGCUUUGGUGCAAAUUCAUGUCAACUAUAUACAUAUUUAAAUAUUUUGGUUUUAAAUUUGGUUAUAUAAUUUUAGGUUUUGGCAUAUUAUGGUUCCAAAUAUUUGGUUAAAUUAUGAUGAUAUGAUUUAUUGUAUGAAUUGUGGGAUAUGCCAACUAUUAUGAUUUUGUUUUUUGAGAUUUAUUGGCUUGAAAAUAUUUUUCAAGUAUUUAUGUGAAUAUCUAUUUAAUCAUAAAUACAACUUUGGAUUUACAUGGUAAAUUCAGGGUAAGUUUUUCUAUUUGAUUAUGAAUACAUGUAUAUGCGUGAAUUGUUUUGGUGUUUUUAUCCAUGCCAAAAUUAUGAAUACAUGUGCUUGUUAAUUAUUUGGCUUUGAACCACUACAUUAUUUCUGUUUGGUUUUGAUAUAUGAUUUUGGAACAAAAAAAGAAGAAGGAAAUAGUCAAAAAAAUUAAGGUUUUCGGUUUUUUUAUUGCAUUAUUAAGACAAACUUAUUUAGGGUUAUUUCAGAGUUUAUAAAGCAAUAAAAAAAAUUAGUUUUGACAUUUGACUAUUGGGGAAAUUUAAAUUUGAAUAUUGGUAUGUUUAUAUAUAUUUUAAAAUAACUUAAUUGAAGCAAAAAGUCACCAAAGUGAUUUUUUUGUAUAAAUUAUUUUGUUUUAAAAUAUAAAAGUUUGUGUGCAUGUAACUUAAGUUAUGUUAAUAUUGAUUGGCCCAAGUGAAGGUUAAUCAUAUUACAUGUGCAACUAUGGUGAUAAACAUGUGACGGUUAUUCGAUUUUACAUGUGAGUAAUAAAUUGGCCCAAAGGAAGAUUUAUUAUUCGACAUGCUCUUAUUGUCAAUGUUUGAUUACUACACCAAGAUAUCACUUAUAAAUUAAUAUUUUGUCCAAAGAUGAAAUAUUAAUAGAGUGUCCGAUAUCUUAAAAUGACGUUUACCUUUAUUCAAAUUAUUUUGGUUUAAAUUUGAAGUCUUAUGUGAAGUUGUUUAUGGUUUAUGAUUUAUUCAACUAUUAUUAUAUUUUCCAACAUCAUUGUAUGUUGUUUUGGGAUAAAUAUAUAUAUAUAUCUUUUAAUUUGAUUGAAAGAUGAAAUUAAGGUAAAUAUUUUGAAACAAAUAAAUUCAGAUUUUGGCUUUUAAUUAAGGAUGUGUAAUAUAUUAAAUAAAUUAGUUGAAACAAAAUGCCACCAAAGUGACCUCUUUUGUGUAGAUUAGUUUAUUUGAAAUAUUAAGAUGAUUAUAUGUUUUUGUGAUUCAUGCGUUUAUUAAUUUACCCAAAGGUAAGUUAAUAUUUGGCAGAAUUACAACGACAUCUGUGGUGAUAAAUGUGUGACAAUUAUAAGGUAUUUUAUGUGAACAAUAAGUUAGUCCAAAGAUUAAUUCAUUGUUUAACAUAGUUUAUUGUCAAUGUUUGAUUGCUACAAUAAGAGUACCGCUUACUGUUAAUAUUACUGUCCAAAGACUUAAUAUUAAUGUUGUGUUUGGUAUCUUGAGAUGGGAUUAGCCAUUAUCCUGAAUUUAUUUUUUACUAUGAAUAUUGAUGUGAGCUUAUUUUUAUUUAUUUUUUGUUCUAUAUUCAGCUAAUUCAUAUUCUACUGCCACAAUAUCUGCUAAUAUAAAUUCUGUACCCAUACUUAAUGGGGCUAAUUUCAAUGAAUGGAAAAGGCACUUACUUAUAGUGCUUGGCUAUAUGAACAUAGACCUUACACUAAAGGAAGAACUACUCGCACCUCUCACUGCGGAAAGUAACCCCUAUGUUAAAAGGGAUUUUGAGAGGUGGAAUCGUUCAAAUUGCAUGAGUCUGAUGCUCAUGAAGCACAAUAUUUUAGAAGCCUUUAAGGGCAUAGAAUCUGAAAAGAUUACUCAAGCCAAGGUUUCCUUGAUGAAAUUGAGAAACGUUUUACUAAAAAACGAUAAGGUUGAAAUGGCAUCACUUAUGACUUCUUUGAUGUCUGUAAAGUUAAGGGUUAAGGAAAUUCUGAGCAAUCUAAGGGCUAUGAAUUUUAUGAUCCCACAAUUAGGAAUAUUUUUUGAGACAAGAAUUACAACAUUUUUUGAGGAUGUUGAGUUUGGAGGGAGAAAUAAGGUUAGAACAUUGCUUUUGAGGAGGAAUUGGAUUCUAACUCAGUUCCUACUAUCACUUUUGAUGAUGUUUAGACUCUCAUACCUAUCAUUGAUUAAGAAGUGAAUCUAGAACCUCAAUAAGACAAUGUUAAACAACUCCCUAUUCAAGAUGAGGUAAUUGUUCCAGAAGAACAAACUCAACAACCUUAAGAAUGAAUGUCAUUAGAAAGGUCCACUAGAGAAAGGGUUAAAAUGGCUUUAGUGGAAUAUUUUGACUUUAAGCUACAUCAAAUGAAUAUUAAGUUAAUGGUUUCUCAAUGGUAACAUUGAUCAUACAUUUAUAUGGUGCAAUUAGAAAACUUUGUGUCUGGUGAUACAAAAGUAAUGAUUUGCAAAUUAAAGAACUUUAUCUAUGGGCUUAAGUAGACUUCUCGUCAAUAAUAUACAAAAUUUACCAAAUGAUUAUCUCAUUCGGUUUAGAGAUGAAUUUUGUUGAUAAUCGUUUAUACCAUAAGUUUAGUGGGAGUAAAGUUUUAUAUUUGGUUUUAUAUGUUAAUGACAUAUUGCUUGUCAAUAAUAAGUAUAGCCUCAAUCAAUGCCCUAAGAAUGAUAUUAAGAUUACAAAAAUGCAUUAGAUUUUUUACAUUUUAGCAGUGGAAAGUUUAAUGUAUGUUCAGGUUUGUAUACAUUGGAAUCUUGUAUACACUAUUGGGAUGUUAGGCAGAUAUUUUAAGCAACCCUAGUUUGGACCAUUAGAUAGCAUCCAAGAGGGUUAUAAGGUAUUUUCAGAGAAUAAAAGAUUACAUGCUCACAUAUUGGAGGUCUAAUCAGAUAGAGAUCAUCAAGUAUAUAGACUCCGAUUUUGAUGGAAUAUGGAUAAAAGAUUUUGUCACUAAGGUGCAAAUUGUGAAAAUAAAUUGCAGUCUUUUAUUCCAAUAGCAACAGGAGCACAUUAAAGUCAAAACACAUAGACUUUAAGUUCCUGGUUGUUAAAGUAAAAGUUCAGAGUGGUUAAGUGCUUAUAAAGCAUAUUAGGACAAACUCCAUAAUUGCGGAUCCGCUUAUUAAGGAACUACACCUAAGGUUUUAUAAGAGCACAUUGCUCAUAUAGGUGUAAUGUCAUUUAAAGGAUAUUUGGUUUUAGUGGGAGUUUGUAUUUUUAAAUGCUUUUAUGUUAUAGACACAUUUUCAGUUAUUUCAGUUUAAAGAUAAUAAGUUUAUUUUCUGUAGAAAUAAAGUUUAUUUGGUUUAUUCACACUCUGAUUUUGGUAAGAUUUGAUCUCACUAAGGAGGACCAGUUGGAAAUAGACAUGUUUAGAUCAUAUUGCAAGUAAUUUCCAUGCUACACAUCCAUACUUGAUCUAUGUCAUUUGGUUGUGUUAAUAUACGUGAUCAUGGAUGGAUUUAGUUACGAUAUUUGUAACGAAAGUCGCCUUGGUUCUAUGUUAACAUAAUUAAUGGACGAGAUUGUACGGAAUGCCUUUUGGAUAUGAUAGUAAAACUUUGAGCUCAUAAGGUUAUAUAAUGACAUGUAAUUAUAAAGUAAUUAGUAUAUAUAUGUGGUCCAAGUGGGAGAUUGUUGGAAAAUUUCGAUAUCACAUAUAUAAUAAGGAUAAUUACAUGUUAUUAUUUAAUAUCAUGAUAGGUUAGCCCAAAUUAAAAGUGAUCUAAUUUGGUUAGAAUUUUAUUGGGCUUUUAAUUAUUAAAUAAAGUAUGGGUCAAACAUGUGUAGAUACCCUUCUAAUCAAAUUCUACUUAAUGAUGGGCUAAUUAGAAUUUGAUUAGAACUAAUAUGCUAAGGUUAUAAAUAUUAGAGUUAUGGUCCCCAAAUUAUACACAAGACAUCUUUUCUAAUAUCCCAUCAUUAGGAAAGAGAGAGCAGAUAUUCUCUGAAUUUCUUGUGUGCUAAUUUGGAAGAUCAAAUCCCCAAAGUUCCAAAAAGUCUCAAGGAAUCCAUGGAUUCAGGUACGCUUCCGCAUCUAGUUUUAUUCUUAAUUUAUUCUUGAUGAUUUGACAUGACAGAUCCUAGUUUAUUAAGUUUUAUUUUAGAUUUAUUUUAAUAAAAUCUAACAUGUUCGCCCAGGGAAUUGAACAAGACUCUUACUUUGAAUGGGGAUAUUUUCUUGAAGAUGAAAAGAUUAAGAUUGCUCAAAGUCCAUUGUCUUCCAAAUUGUUGUGAUCUCACCUACCUUUCUAAUGAGUUACGACUUUUAGAAUGGUCAGGAUAUUCUUUAAGAUCUCUGCCUUUAGGCUUCCAACCGGAAAAUCUUGUUGUACUUCUCUUGCCUUAUAGCAAUAUUGAACAAUUGUGGAAGGAAAAUACAGUAAGAAUUAACUCAUUUUGUCUUUGUUUUCUAAUUCGAGAAGAAGGUAUUAAUAUAGAAGAAUAAAAAUGAAAAUAAGCUUCACCAUAUUUUUUCUCCUUUUAUCUCUAAUUUAUUAUUGUUUUCAACAGCCCCUGUAUAAGUUGAAAGUGCUCAACCUCAAAGGGUCGGGAAACCUGAUCAAGGCACCAGACGUUAUAACUGCCCCAAAUCUUGAAAUUUUGGUUUUGGAAGGUUGUACUAGAUUAGUAUAUGUCCAUCCAUCUGUUGGAGUUCUUACAAGGCUUAAGCUUUUGAAUUUAGGAGGCUGCAAAAGUCUGAGGAGUUUUCCAACCAGAAUUAGAAUGGAAUCCCUUGAAAUGUUAACUCUUUUAGGUUGCUCAAAACUUCAAAGCUUUCCAGAAAUUGAUGGGAAAAUGGAAUGUUUGUUGGAGGUUUGUUUUGAUGGGACAAACAUUAAAGAGCUACCUUCUUCAAUCGAAAAUCUCAGAAGACUUGAAGUUUUGAAUUUAAAAGACUGUAAAAGUCUAAGGAGUUUUCCAACCAAAAUUGGAAUGGAAUCUCUUGAAAAGUUAAUUCUUUCAGGUUGUUCCAAUCUUAAAAGGUUUCCAGAGAUUGAUGGCAAAAUGGAAUGCCUGCAAGAGCUUUAUUUAGAUGGGACGGGCAUUAAAGAGCUACCUAUUUCAAUUGGAAAUCUGAGCAGUCUUGUUUUGUUAAAUUUGAAAGAUUGCAUGAACCUUGUGGAUCUGCCCGGUAGCAUAGGUGAGUGUAAAAGUUUAAAAUCUCUUAAUCUUUCUGGUUGUUAUAAAGUUGAAUAUUUGUGAUAUAGAUCUUUUCAUUGGAAAACAAUAUCAACGGAGGAAUAGGAAUUAGAAUUCUACAUUUAUUUAAUUUCUUUAGGAGUUUUAGUUUUACUAGGUUUUUUAUUUCCUUAUAAACUUUAAAUUAGGAAUUCUAUUAGGACUUUAAAUUAGGAAUUAAAUUAGGAUUUUCCUUUGUAAUUAACAGCCUAUAAAAAGGUUGCCAAUAUGAAAAAAAAGGGGGGUUAUUUUUUAUCACAAACGUUAGUUUGGGAAGGGGGUUCAGUCAAAGAUGAAUCUGCCUUUGAGUAACCAUAGGUCGAAGCAAGGAUACUUUCUCGUCUAGACCUGUGACUAGAUCUUACGCCAAGGCGCAUAAAAACUUGGUAUCAGAGCCAGUUGUCAUGGGUGACGAAAAAACUUUGACAGCCAAGCUGGAGGCAUUUAUGGAACAAAUGGCUACAAGGCAACAAGUAUUAGAGGAGCAGAUGGCGAUUUUAUCUCUUUCGGUCCAAAAGACAACGAAAGAGAAUUUAGAAAAAAAUAAUGAAGAACAAGGCAGCAGUGGAGGCAAGAAAAGAAAUUCAGAUUCACAACACGGUGGGGGCAUGGUGCCAAGAUACUCCAAGAUGGAAUUUCCCACUUAUGAUGGUGUUGGUGACCCUUUAGGAUGGUUAAAAAGAUGUGAAAUUUUUUUUAACAAUCAGCGAACCAACGAAGAAGACAAAGUCGGCUUAGCUUCAUUCCAUCUCUUAGGAGAAGCACAAUUGUGGUUUGAUCAAAUCGAGGAAGAGGAGGCAAAUUUGGAUUGGGAGCGUUUUAGAGAGUGUUGUCAUGUCAGGUUUGGGCCACCUAUGAGUAAUAACCCCUUGGGGGAACUUGCAAACUUAAGACAAACUGGGACGGUAGAAGAAUAUCAACGUCAAUUUCAAUCACUACUGGCUAGGACUACUGAUCUUAAACCUCGACAACAAGUAAACCUUUUUACUGCCGGAUUAGUAGAGGAACUUAGAAUUGAUAUUGAGAUGCAACAACCGGGAAACCUUGGAGUUGCAAUGAAUAUGGCUCGAGCUUUGGAACGGAAACAAAAAGUCUCUUCCAAGAUGUUAUCUCAAACCAAUCUAAACUGGUCAGCUUCCCAAAACACUGGCAGCAAUUCCAUUAUUCCAACAACUAAGAGCUUUGCAAAGGGAGGAGGACAAACAACGAAACCAAUGGGGAAUAACAGCAAAAUAGGUUCUUCCACACCAUUUAUCAAAAGAUUGACACGAGUAGAGAUGGCGGAGAGAAAGGCUAAGGGAUUGUGUUAUAAUUGUGACGAGUCUUACUCCAUGGGGCACAAAUGUAAAAGGCUAUUUUGGAUAGAAGUACCAGAUAUUGAAGAUGAGCAAGAUAAUGAGGUAGAUGAUCUUGAAAUUUCCUUACAUGCCAUUAGAGGAACUUGCAAUUCAACUACUAUGCAACUACCAGCAAAGGUGUCAGGAAAAACAGUGUUAGUUCUCGUUGAUUCAGGCAGUACACAUAACUUUCUACGCGAAGGUCUAGUGCCAAAAUUGGGACUGAAAAUACAAAAGAAAAGGGGGUUACAAGUAUGUGUGGCAAACGGAGAACGGGUUCCUAGCAUUGGCAUUUGUAAAUCAGUACAGUUCGUUGUGGCCAAUGACAACUUUCAAGCUAAUUUUUAUACAAUACCAUUAGAAGGGUUUGAUAUGAUUCUGGGGGUUAAAUGGUUGUGUACCCUUGGUCCAAUUUUAUGGGAUUUCAGCUCCUUCAUUAUGCAAUUUGCAGUAAACAAGAAGAAGAUACUCUGGCAAGGGCAGCACCCAGAGGAAGUUCCACAACUCAGCUUGAUACAGGGACAGGAUUUAACUAAUAUAGUAUUAAAUAAGCUACUGGUAGAAUUUGCGCAUUUAUUCCAAGAACCAUCUGGGUUACCUCCUAACUGCAAAUGUAACCAUCGUAUAACUCUCAAACCAGGAACGAGACCAAUUGUAGUCAGGCCUUAUCGAUAUCCACAUUUUUAAAAGGAUGAGAUUGAGAAGCAGUGUGACCAAAUGUUACAACAAGGAAUCAUUCGACCCAGUAGAUCACCAUUCUCUUCUCCAGUACUAUUAGUAAAGAAGCAUGAUGGGUCAUGGCAUUUUUGCAUCGAUUAUCGAGAGCUUAAUGCUUGCACUGUUAAAGACAAAUAUUCGAUUCCUGUCGUGGAUGAAUUGUUGGACAAACUUCAUGGGGCAAAAUAUUUUACAAAAUUGGAUUUACGAUCGGGAUAUUUUCAAAUUAGAAUGGCAACUAUUGAUGUGGAAAAGACAGCCUUCCGAACCCACCAUAGACACUUUGAGUUUCUUGUCAUGUCAUUCGGGCUUACCAAUGCCCCUUCCACAUUUCAGAGUUUGAUGAAUGACAUUUUUCGCCCUUACUUGCGUAAGUUUGUUUUAGUCUUCUUUGAUGACAUAUUAAUUUAUAGCAAAACAUGGACUGAACAUAUGCAUCAUGUAAGAUUAGUUUUUGAACUCUUGCGGGAUAAUAUGUUGUUCUUAAAGAAAUCCAAGUGUUUCUUUGGAGAGUCUCAGGUAACCUACCUCGGUCAUGUCAUCCAUGGUGAAGGGGUCGAGGUUGAUCACACUAAAAUUAAAGAUGUCACCGAUUGGCCAACUCCUAAAACUACCAAGGCUCUACGAGGCUUUCUUGGGUUGGCAGGAUAUUACAGAAAAUUCAUCAAGAAUUAUGGACAAGUGGCUACACCCUUAACAUCUCUUCUAAAGAAAAAUGCCUUCAACUGGACUAUGGAAGCUGAUGUUGCUUUCACCCAAUUAAAAAUUUCUCUUUCAGCAGCCCCAGUUUUGCAAUUACCCAACUUUACGGAGGAAUCUGUGGUUGAAUGUGAUGCUUCGGACAGCGGGUUUGGAGCUGUACUAUAGCAAAAGGGACACCCCAUUUCCUUUUUUAGUUGCAAGAUUGCAGAUCGACACCUUAAGUUGGCUGCCUACGAACGUGAAUUAAUUGGUUUGGCAAAGGUAGUGACUCAUUGGCGACCCUAUCUUUGGGGAAGGCAUUUCCUCAUCCGUACUGAUCACUUUAGUCUUAAGUAUUUGUUAGACCAACGACUUACGACAUCUCCACAACAACAUUGGAUCAGCAAGCUAAUAGGGUUUGAUUUUCGAGUAGAAUAUAAAGCAGGGAAGUUGAACAGGGCUGUAGAUGCUUUAUCUAGAAAAGACGAAGACUUACCACACCUCAUGACUGUUUCAUUCCCUCAAGUUGAAAUUCUUAAAGCCAUCAGAUGAGAAAUAGAAGCUUCCACAGAAUUAUCACAACUCCAGCAAAGAAUUCUAGAAGGAGAGUUAGGGCCCGAUUGGGUUGCACAAGAUGGGUUGAUUUUCUUCAAAGGGAGGUUGUACUUUUUACCUACCUCACCAAUUAUUCCCACUCUUAUCUCCUCUAUAAAUGCUAUGGCACAUGAAGGGGAAUUGAAAACAUUGCAUCGUCUUCGCCAAGAUUUUUUUUGGAAAGGAAUGAAGCUUGCAACCUCAGAAUUUGUGCAACAUUGUUUAGUAUGCCAACGCCACAAAUGGCAAAAUUUACAGCCCGCAGGUUUACUUCAACCUCUUCCAAUACCACAACAUGUUUGGGCUGAUAUUUCUAUGGAUUUCGUGGAGGGUCUACCCAAAGUAAAAGGGAAAUCGGUACUUAUGGUGGUUGUGGACAGACUGUCGAAGUACGCUCAUUUUUUACCUUCGUCCCAUCCAUUUACUGCUAUAUCUGUUGCUACCGUCUUUUUUGCAGAGGUAUUCCGACUUCAUGGCUUGCCUGAAUCCAUGUUUCAGACCGUGAUAAAGUUUUCCUCAGCCUGUUUUGGAAGGAAUUAUUUCGUCAAAGUGGUUCUAAGCUCGCUUUUUCCUCAGCAUACCAUCCCCAAUCUGAUGGUCAGACAGAGGUAGUUAACCGAACAAUAGAAAUGUACCUACGAUGCCUCUCUAGUGAUCGUCCACGACAGUGGGUCGAUUGGGUUCCAUGGGCUGAGUAUUGCUACAACACCUCAUAUCACACUGCCCUAAAGGCCACUCCCUUCCAAUUAGUAUACGGUAGGGAUCCACCUCGACUUCUCUCCUAUUCAGCUGGUUCUACAAGGAUUGAAGCUGUGGAUAAGGCUCUACAAGAUAGGGAUGCACUUUUACACAAUGCUCGGGAUAGACUCUAGCAAGCUCAGCAACGAAUGAAAGCCACUUAUGAUUUGAGGCACAGAGAGUUGAAUUUUAAAGUCGGGGAUUGGGUUUGGUUACGGCUUCAAUAGUAUCAACAAUUGACGAUAACUAAAUAGAAGCAUCACAAGUUAUUGCCAAAAUAUUUUGGUCAUUUUAAAGUCUUGAACAAAAUAGGAUCAGUGGCCUAUCAGCUUGAAUUACCUACAGGCAGCAGAAUACAUGAUGUAUUUCAUGUUUCUUUCCUCAAAGAAUACAAGGGUCCUCAACCAGAUGCGGUAGGAGACUUGCCCUUAGUAUAUGAUGGCAAGGCCUUGCCUACUCCACAAGCUAUUAUUAAUACCAGGCUUAAUCGAGGUCGGCGGGAACUAUUAGUGCAAUGGGCAGGAUGCCCUCAAGAAGAUGCCACUUGGGAACCAAUUGAUAAUUUUCGAGCAGCUUAUCCUGAAUUUGAGCUUGAGGACAAGCUCAACUCCGAGAGGGGGAGUAAUGAUAUAGAUGUUUUCAUUGGAAAACAAUAUCAACGGAGGAAUAGAAAUUAGAAUUCUACAUUUAUUUAAUUUCUUUAGGAGUUUUAGUUUUACUAGGUUUUUUAUUUCCUUAUAAAAUUUAAAUUAGGAAUUCUAUUAGGACUUUAAAUUAGGAAUUAGAUUAGGAUUUUCCUUUGUAAUUAACAGCCUAUAAAAAGGCUGCCAAUAUGAAAUAAAAGGGGGGUUUAUUUUUUAUCACAAACGUUAGUUUGGGAAGGGGGUUCAGUCAAAGACGAAUCUGCCUUUGAGUAACCAUAGGUCGAAGCAAGGAUACUUUCUCGUCUAGACCUGUGACUAGAUCUUACGCCAAGGCGCAUAAUAAUUUGCCAGAGAAUUUGCAGCAAAUAGAAUUCUUGGAGGAGCUUGACUUAAGUGAAAGAUCCAUGACAAAACCACCAGUCUUCAUUUUUCAAUUUAAAAACCUUAAAGUUCUUUCUUUUAAUGGGAGAAAGGGACCUCCUUCCAAGUUACAAAAAUAUCUACCUUCUCUGUUAAAGGUAAUCCAAAAAGGAAGGACAAAUUUCAUGGCUCCGAUGUUGCCUUCGUUGUUAGGUUUGAGUUCAUUAAGAAGGCUGAAUCUAAGGGACUGCAAUUUUUGUGAAGGAGAUAUUCCUAGUGAUAUUUGACGCCUAUCCUCUUUGAUAGACCUUGAUCUUGGUGGUAACAACUUCAUCAGCAUACCUUCGUGUCUUAUUCAAUUUUCCAAGCUUGAAUCUCUUAGAUUGUAAGAUUGCAGGGAGCUUAAAUCGUUGCCUGAGCUUGUAACUAGAAUAAAUUUUGUACACAUAAAUAGUUGUGCUUCUCUGGAAAUAGUUGCAAAUCCAUCAAAAGUUUGCAAUUCAAAUUAUUGGUCAAGUUAUUGGUCAGAUAUAGUAGGUGUUAAUUGCUUCAGAUUGGCUGAGAACAUCGGUGCCUUAACAUUGCUGAAAAAACAUCUAAAGGUUCGUUAAUAUCUCUGUUUCUCUGUGUCUUAUAAUUAUUCAUAGUGUUAAUUACCAAACAAGCGAAGUUUUAUUUUGCAGGUUUUUGGAAAUUCAAGAGAAAUGUUUGAUGUUAUUCUACCUGGAAGUGAAAUCCCAGAAUGGUUUAGUCAACAAAGAGGUGAGUCUUGGUUUAAGAUAAAUUUGCCUCUGGAAGUUCGGAAUGAUAGUCAAUGGAUGGGAGUUGCUUUGUGCUGCAUUUUUGUCAGUGAUGAUGCUUCAAGGGAUGAGUAUCUCAUGUGUAGAGCUGCUAUCCAUGGUAGAUAUUCUAGACAAGGCAAUUGCACUCAAUCUAAUUUCCAGGGUAGAAAUCCUCGAGUAGUCAAUUGUAGUGGCUGGCGUGUAAAUGAUGAUUUUGACUCGCCCGUACUGAAGGACCACAUUUUAAUUCGUUAUUUGUCGCGUGACGAGUUGUAUCCAAUUUCCUUGGAAGACAAAUGGGGUGAACGAGAAACCAAUAAUUUACUGACAACAAAUUGCUUAGAUCCGGGAUGCCAUCAACUUGAGCUGUCUUUCGAAAGACAUAACAGUGUUAAGGUGAAGAAGUGAGGUGUUAGAAUAGUGUAUGAGAGAGAUCUGGAAGAGAUGGAACAAAUACAAGAGCUGCAUAAUAAUCAGUGUUGUGCAAAUUUUGAAGAUAUCCAGCAACACUCUACUGAUGAUGGAUCAAUAGGUAACAGUUCCCUAAUAAAGCGAAAACGUAAUAUGUAUGAGGAGAUGGAUGAAGGGCCGCAACCAAAACGAAUGCAAAAAAAUUUCAGUUCUAUAAUGGGCAGACUUGGGAAGAAGCACUAAUUGUGGUAAACUAUUUCUUUGGCCUUGUCCUAUUAAUUUUUUUUAUGACUUUUUUUUUAUUUACAGUUUCUUUUAUUUCAUUUAAAGUAUUCAUUUUCCAUAUAUUUACUCUGCAAUAAAUGAGAUAUAAUCUUUCAAAUAUAUAUAAUUAAGUUAAAAAUUCUAAACAUAUACAUGUUAAACAUGAACUUGUAUUCUAUGCCUAUCCCAAAUUUGGAUAAUAUUUUCUUUUUAUAACAUUCAAUAUUUUAUUCAUUUUUAUAUAAUUUGAUUAUAUGAUCGCAGAUUGAAGAAAUAUAAUCGGCUGUAAAUAAAAUGUGGAGGAAGUUUUGAUUGCUUCAUGAAGCAACUAAUAAGUAAGGUGCGAAUCCUUUGUCAAUGUUUAGGUUAUAAUCAUCCUAAAUUGUUGUUUCAUUUUUGUUCGAAAUUGUUAGACUUCAAGUUAUGUGUUAAAUGUGAUAUGUGUCUAGUUUAAUCUUUUAAAAUUGUUUUUAUAUAUUUGAGUAAAAAAUUAUAUUUUUUUACUUCUAAAAAACUCUAUUUUUUCUCCAAAUCAUUUGCUUCUUUUUGUUUUUGCCUAGCUGUGGUUUUAGCCUCCGGGCUAAUUACAGCCCGCCUUUUUCUCUUACCCAUCAACUCUUUUAUCUUUCUUCUUCUGAUUCACUCUAUACAUUAUCUCUUUUAAGUGUACAGAUUUAUUUUGUAGGAUCUUUGUUGUCUUCACAAGAUGUGAUGGAUAGAUGACGGUGCUUAUCAUUAUUAAAACACCACUGACCACCGAUAGUUUCUUUUAGAAAGCGGGUAGCUUGUCAUUGGCUUCUUAAUCUGUUUCUGUUUUGAGAGUUUCAGAAUAAUAAAUGAUUUUAUAAGUCAUCUUGGACUCGUGUUAUCUUAAGUUUUAUAUAUUUUUUGUUUGUUUUUCCAUUGUUUAAUAAGUCUUUCACUUUUAGAAGUUUCUAUCUACUUUUGUAAUACGUUUUUUAGUCUUGCUUAUACAUGUAGUCUUGCUUUUGCGAGUAAUUUUAAGGUUGGUUUUGUCGUCGUUUCCUCUCUAGUUUGGUGGAUGCUCGGUUCUUUUGCCAAUUUAUGUCCGCCGCUUUGGACCAUCCAGGGUUGAUUUCCUUAUUGUAUUAAGUACUUGAAUCAAUUCUAAUAUAUUGUGCUUGAUUUAUGACAGAGCCGAGUGCCAACAUGCCAUAAUGUUAUAUUGAUGUUAAAGUUGAAGCUUUUGUUAUAUUGAUAGAGCUUGUCCUUCAGUGCGUACAACCGAUGUUUUUUUUUCGAAUUGUAUGGUAUUAUAUUGAAUGAAUUAAUGAAUUUCUCUUCAAAAAAAUUAUUUUUAUAUAUUUAAAAUAUUAAAUAAAAAUAAUAUAGAAAAAAUAUUAAUUUAGUCCUGAACGUUUACAUUUUUUAUCAUUUUACCUCUUAAAUUUGACUCUCAACUUUAAAAAAAGAAGGUCAAAUUUGACCAUCAACUUUUUAAUAUAGGUGAAAUGAUUUUUUGUAAUGAGAAUACUAACUAAAAUAUUAAAUUUUUAAACACAACAACCUGCAUGCGAUUCACAUGUACUCCAAGUUAGAUAAAAUAAUUAAAAUAAAUAAUUAAGAUAAUUUAAAUAGAAUAAUAAAUCUACAAUUAGAACAAUAAGGACUAAAUUAAAGAAGAUAGAUAGAAAAAUAGAAUGUGAUAUGUAGAAGUCUUAAAAAACCUUAGAAACACGAAGAAUCCACAAUCUCCUUCAAGCGACUCCAAUUUAAUCUUAGUAAAACUCUUAAGUAUGUUAGAACCCAAUAUGAUUUAAACUCGAAUUAAAAGCUCGAAACUCGUAAUUUCUGUCACAAUCCCGUUUAGAAAUUCUGCUCAUGCGAUCUUCACUAAAACAGUCAUAAAUUGAGCUCCUGAGCUCAAAAUCGAGUGAUGCAAAAUGUAUUUCGAAGCUAAGAGAUAGAUCUUCAAACGCCAUGGACAUCUCAACUAAAAAAUGCUAAGAUCUCAUCCAAAAAGUCGUCGCAAGUCUACUGAUUUCCCAAGCUUAAAAAUUGACAACUUCGGUGAAUUUCACCCCAUCCGUGCAUAUAUCAUACAUCUUCUUGGAUAUUGAACAAAGCCCUCCAGAGAAACGAGCAAUUAGAAGGAUGUAUAGAAGAAGACCAUUUACUUAUUACCCCAUACUUGUUUCGAAAGACUUCUAACCCAUAGCACAUUCAUGUUAGAAAUGACAUUAAAAGUUACUUUAAGCAUGAAGGCUUUAUUGAGGUCUCGUACUUCCCUUAACCCAAGUCCACCAUUCUUCAAAGGCAUGCAACAUUUAUCACAACUCACUAAAGUUGGUUUUUGGUUACCAAAUGUUGACUCCCAAAUGAAUCCUUGAACCUGCUUCUCAAUUUUGUUGCAAUUGUCUUGGUGAUCACCUUAAACAAUACCAUAUGGAGAUUGAUCGAUUUAUAAUGAUAUAGCAAUUCCAAUCCAACCACCUUGGGCACCAACGCAACAAGAGUUUGAUUCAAAUCCAAAGGAAUUGCGUCACCUUCAAAGCAUUUUGGAAUCAAGCAACAAAUUUGAUCAUUAAACAAAACUCCAUUGAGAUUGACAAAAGCAAGAAUUGGGUCACCUUCAAACCACUUUUGAAUCAAGCAACAAAUUUGAUCCUUAAACAAAACUCCAUUGAGAUUGACAAAAGCGAGCAUGGAAAUCAUCAACAUCAGGAGCCUUCAACGGCGCCAUAUUAAACAAAGCUUUCCUUACCUCUUUCUUCAAAACUCUAUCAUCUAAAGCCACAAGUUCCUCAACUCUCAAAGCAGGAAAGCAAUUGGGUAAUGAAAACUCACCUGGGUACGUUGCAUGUACAAUGUAUAAUGUGCUCCUAUUGAUAUCGGAAUAAAGGAUCGCAAUCUAUUGUCACAUGUUGCAGUCUAGUGACAAAAUUUUGUAUCUAUAGACAAAUUUUUAACUCAUUAAAUAUCUUAUAUGCGAGCAUGUAAUAUUUUAGUUUUUCAAGAUAAUGUAUGAAUCAUUUUACUAUUUUCCCAUGGUCCAUACUCAAAAAUUUUCAAAUAUCUAUCCAACAUCUUAACAAUAUAUGUAAUAUUUUUACACAUAUAAACCUGAACAUACAUUCGAUUCCCCAUUGAUGAAGCAUAGUGAUAUUUUUCCAUUUCCUUAAUCUUAAAAUUAAUCUUGAGACAUUGAUCAAGAUUAAACUUGUCUCAUUUAAUGAUAUAAUUAUCACCUAAUCGACAAUCUUGUCAAAUCUCUUUAAUAUAUUUUGAGUAUAGUAUAGAAUAUAAGCAUGAAGGAGAAAAACAGAUCAAAUUUCUUGGGAACAACGAAGAGUUUUCUAAGCAAUUUCUCAAUACAUUUCCAACCAUUUCCUUUAUUUCCAAAUGAAAGCGGGUGGGUGUGGAAAUUGGGGGAUGAUAGAUGUUCUCUCCAGGAAGAAUCCAAGAAAGAGUUGACAAAAUGGAUCCUGCAAUAAUUUUAAGUAAUAAUUGAAGUGUUGGACGGUUUGUGUCUUACAAACCUUUUUUUUUUUUUUACAUUAUAAUAUUUACUUUAUAAAUUAUUAAG
RNAcentral lists this long non-coding RNA (48747 nucleotides) under Gossypium barbadense (sea-island cotton). RNAcentral's name for it is "long non-coding RNA (GBAR_LNC010901)". Lineage: Eukaryota; Viridiplantae; Streptophyta; Magnoliopsida; Malvales; Malvaceae. The record is from RNAcentral.